This 61798-nucleotide long non-coding RNA is filed under the name Fragaria vesca (wild strawberry). RNAcentral describes it as "long non-coding RNA (FVES_LNC002157)". Lineage: Eukaryota; Viridiplantae; Streptophyta; Magnoliopsida; Rosales; Rosaceae. The record is from RNAcentral.
UUUUUUUUUUUUUGUCUUUUGGUGAAGCAUGCAAGUCAGUUUUUUACUUUUCAGAACUUAUAUUUUCAAGGCUAUUUUAUUUUGCUGCAAUCUGGAUCACCAAGCAGAUCUCACAAAAUCCAAGUCCCAAAGCCAACUUUGUAUUUUUGUGACUUUUAGGUGAUGUGAAUAUUCAGUGAAGAAGCUCAUGUGUUCAGUGCGAGGUUUUAGGAUCUCAGUUGUUUUUAUUUAAUUUGUGUUCAAGAUCCUUUUACUGUGCGGUGUUCUUGCACAUGCUUUGUGAUACAAAGUUGGUUACUUGUUUGCUUUCCCAAUCUAAUCCUUACAAUUUCUUCAAGGACUUCAAUUCAAGUCUCAUUCCAUUCACUUUUAGUACUUUUCAAGUUAAUUCUGGCCAAAUGGAGUUUUGCAAAUCUUCUUCACUUCAAGUAAUUACAAUAAAGGUAGCACACUAAGAUUAGCAGAAGAAGUUAAAAGGAGAUCUUCUAGACUCUGAUAGGGGAUAAAUUGUUUAUUGCCGCAGAUUCUGCACUUGAAAAGGUGUGCUUUAUAUUUUAACACUAUGUUUUGGCCUUUUCUUUCUUCAUUUUAGUCUGAUCCUGUUCCCUUGAUUUCCUCUGUAGAAAAAAGCAGAUGCAUUGAGAGCAUUGUUAUUGAUCAAUCAUCUGGGUGUUAAAGGUUGAAUUUUUCUACCUCAGUUUUUCUUUGUUCUUUUUGUUUUUGGGUUUGUGUGGUUCUUUACUCAGCUUAGUGAGCUUACCUUUCAUGUCAUCAUAUGGAUUAAAAUCUGGUGAUUCACUCGCAAAUUUUAGCAGAAGUUGAAUAUUCGAUCAGUUUGUUGAUAACUUGAAUACUUGGAUGUUGAAGGUGUUUAAAUAUCUGAACUAGUAUUCAUUCAGAUCCACCUUACAUCAUUUUCUCUUUCUUUGCUUACUCUUCUCUAUUUCCUCAUUUAUUCCUGAUUUUUGUAGACUCAUUCCUGAUUUUUGUAGACUCACAAGUAAUGUACUAUCCUUUGCUUAUCUAAAAGUGUAACCAUAUAUUGGUUACUGGUCGACUGGAAAAAUGCAAUGCCAAACUUAAACUGUUUCAUCAGAUGUUGUGUAUGCUAUUCUGUGAAAUUUCUAGAUGGAUUACAGUAUUAGAACAGUUCAUCCUAUUGUCAUCUCUCUUCAACUUUCAUUCUUUCAGUUCAAAGGGUUAUUACUUUGGUUGAUUACUUGAAUGCCUUCAUUUGAGGUGCCCUGUUCUAUCACCUUUUCUGCUUAACUAAUUGAUCUCUGUGCUAUAUGUCACUAUGUCAGUUCUUGGAGUUUUACAUAUAUCACAUAUCUGAUGUUAAAUUUUCCUUAUUCUGCAGGUACCUUUAGUUAUUUACCAUUUCAUUAGUGUUAUAUGCUACUAUGAACAACCUCAAGCUAGGGGUGGAUGUGGUUAGCGCCCACAAUCUUUUGCCUAAAGAUGGGCAAGGUUCAUCUGAUGCAUUUGUGGAGCUGUAUUUUGAUGGCCAGAGGUUCCGCAGCACUAUAAAAGAAAAGGAUCUCAACCCCGUUUGGAAUGAAAGUUUCUACUUCAACAUUGCUGAUCCUUCAAACCUACACUAUCUUACUCUUGAGGCCUAUGUCUACAACAAUGUGAAAGCUACUCACUCCAGGUCCUUUCUUGGAAAGAUCAGUGUCACUGGGAAUUCAUUUGUCCCCUAUUCUGAUGCUGUUGUCUUGCAUUACCCUCUGGAAAAGCGUGGCAUCUUCUCACGUGUAAGAGGAGAGCUCGGCUUGAAGGUUUAUGUUACUGAUGACCCAACAAUUAAGUCCUCCACUCCAAUGCCGGCUUCUGAAUCCCUUACUGAUCAGGAUCCAGGCCUUGCACAGACCCAAGGAGUUUCAGCUCCUGGCAUGAGCUCAUUUCGGAGUGAGAAAUCUCAGGCAAGACACACCUUUCAUCAUCUGCCAAAUCCAGGUCAAGAGAGCCAACAUCAGCAUCAUGCUUCUGCUGCCCCAGAUACUCAUUAUGUACCUAAGCAUGAAGCUGAUCAAAUGAAAUCUGAACAGCAGCCUGCAAAGCUAGUCCGCAUGUACUCUGCUUCAGCAUCACAACCUGUUGACUAUGCACUUAAAGAGACAAGCCCUUACCUUGGAGGUGGGAGGGUUGUUGGUGGACGUGUUAUUCAUGGAGACAAGACUGCAAGCACCUAUGAUCUAGUCGAGAGGAUGUACUUUCUCUAUGUAAGGGUUGUUAAAGCGCGCGAGCUUCCUGCCAUGGAUGUUACAGGAAGUCUUGAUCCUUUUGUUGAAGCGAGAAUUGGAAACUACAGAGGGAUUACAAAACACUAUGAGAAACAGCAAAAUCCAGUAUGGAAUCAGGUUUUUGCUUUUUCAAAAGAUCGCAUGCAAGCAUCUGUGUUAGAAGUUGUGGUUAAAGACAAGGACCUGCUUAAAGAUGACUUUGUGGGAAUUGUGAGGUUUGACAUCAAUGAGGUUCCAUUAAGAGUUCCACCUGACAGUCCUCUAGCUCCAGAGUGGUACCGACUUGCGGACAAAAAAGGUGAAAAGAUUAAAGGGGAGUUGAUGCUUGCAGUCUGGAUUGGCACUCAAGCUGAUGAGGCUUUUUCUGAUGCAUGGCACUCUGAUGCUGCUACACCUGUUGAUAGCUCACCAGCUGCAUCUGCAGUGAUUCGCUCAAAGGUGUAUCAUGCACCAAGGCUGUGGUAUGUUCGUGUGAAUGUGAUAGAGGCACAAGACCUCUUUGCAACAGAGAAGAAUCGUUUCCCAGAUGCAUAUGUCAAGGUACAGAUUGGAAACCAGGUUAUGAAGACAAAAACACUUCAGGCUCGAAAUUUAAACCCACUUUGGAAUGAAGACCUUUUGUUUGUGGCUUCUGAGCCCUUUGAAGACCAUCUGGUCAUUUCAGUUGAGGACCGUGUUGGCCCUGGCAAGGAUGAAAUCCUUGGGAGGGUUAUAUUACCACUCAACUCUGUAGAUAGGCGAGCUGAUGAUCGUAUGAUCCAUUCCAGAUGGUUCAAUCUUGAAAAGCCAGUUGCUGUGGAUGUGGAUCAGUUGAAGAAAGAGAAGUUCUCAAGCCGCAUUCAUCUUCGUGUUUGUCUUGAUGGAGGAUACCAUGUUCUAGAUGAGUCGACUCAUUAUAGUAGUGACUUACGCCCCACAGCAAAACAGCUUUGGAGGCCAGCCAUUGGAGUUUUAGAGCUUGGAAUCUUGAAUGCUGUGGGGCUGCAUCCGAUGAAAACAAGAGAUGGAAGGGGCACUUCAGAUACUUACUGUGUAGCAAAAUAUGGCCAUAAAUGGGUCAGGACAAGAACCCUUGUCGAUAAUCUGUGUCCGAAAUAUAAUGAGCAGUACACUUGGGAGGUGUUUGAUCCUUCUACAGUUCUUACAGUAGGUGUGUUUGACAACAGCCAGCUUGGGGAUAAGGAUUCCAAUGGCCACAAAGACUUGAAAAUUGGAAAGGUUCGUAUUCGUAUCUCAACACUUGAAGCAGGCCGCAUAUACACACACUCGUAUCCGCUGCUAGUUCUUCACCCAGCUGGUGUCAAGAAGAUGGGAGAGUUGCAUUUGGCUAUUCGGUUUUCAUGCACAUCUUUUGUGAACAUGCUUUACACAUACUCAAAACCACUGCUACCAAAGAUGCACUACGUAAGGCCCUUCAAUGUAAUGCAGCUUGACAUGCUACGUCACCAGGCUGUGAACAUAGUUGCAGCAAGGCUAGGGCGAGCUGAGCCACCACUUAGGAAGGAGGUGGUGGAAUACAUGUCUGAUGUGGACUCACAUCUUUGGAGCAUGAGACGGAGCAAAGCGAAUUUUUUCAGGCUUAUGACAGUUUUCUCAGGAGUAUUUGCUAUAGGCAAAUGGUUUACUGACAUUUGCAUGUGGAAGAAUCCCAUAACCACUGUGCUUGUCCAUGUCCUCUUCCUUAUGCUUGUUUUCUUUCCGGAACUGAUUCUACCCACAGCUUUUCUGUACAUGUUUCUGAUUGGGGUAUGGAACUUCAGAUACCGGCCUAGAUAUCCUCCUCACAUGAACACAAAGAUCUCACAAGCUGAUCUAGUACACCCUGAUGAGCUAGAUGAGGAGUUCGACACAUUUCCCACUAGCAGGAAUCCUGAGCUGGUGAGAAUGAGGUAUGAUCGUCUGAGAAGUGUGGCUGGUAGAAUUCAGACAGUGGUUGGUGAUGUAGCAACACAAGGUGAGCGGCUUCAGGCACUUUUGAGUUGGCGUGACCCGCGGGCUACAGCACUCUUUGUCACAUUUUGCCUCAUAGCUGCCUUGGUGAUGUAUGUGACACCAUUCCAGGUGGUGGCAGCAUUGGCAGGGUUCUUUAUGAUGAGGCAUCCGCGGUUUCGACACAGGAUGCCCUCAGCACCCAUCAACUUCUUCCGCAGGUUGCCUGCUAGAACUGAUAGUAUGUUGUAAGUUUGAUUCUAGAUGUUUAUGGCUUCUGGUAUGAUCUAGUAAGUUUAAUUCAGUCCUAAACUAUGAGUCUGAUCUUGUUGACAUUGCUCUCCUUGUUCGACUCUUGCCUGCUAGAACUGAUAGUAUGUUGUAAGUUUGAUUCUAGAUGUUUUUGGCUUCUGGUAUGAUCUAGUAAGUUUAAUUCAGUCCCAAACUAUGAGUCUGAUCCGUAUUGACAUUGCUCUCCUUAUUCGACUCUUGAAGUACCGAACCAUGAAUAAAUUUUUAUCUGCCGGCUGCUGCUUCUUUUCCUAUUUUGUUUGUUGACACCAUAUUUUUCUAUUGUUCAUAUAAGCAGAUCUGUCAUCGACAUGUUGUAGAAUUUUUCAUGAAAAUAUUUCAAAGAAGUCAAUACUAAGAAUGAUGACUAUCGAAUGAUACUCGAUGUUCAUGUCACCUACCAAGUAGCAACAUACCACCAUAGCCAUAAGCUAUUAUUUAUUGGCUAAAGAAUGACAAAGUCUGAUAUGGCUAAGACAACCUAAAGAAUAAUUUUAGUUUGUUUUAUUCUAUAUUUCUAUGCAAUACAUUCCAACGUGCAGGCCAAGUCCAGAUAUUACUUACAGUACGUGCUUCCAUGUUUAAGAUCAUUGUUGGCCAGAACGCAACUGCCCCAAUAAGAAGCAAGAAAGGAAUGUCGAAACAGCAAGCUUCCUUCCCAAAAUGGCGGUUGCCUUAUCGAAAAGAAGUUCCAAACACUUGAAGAAAGAAGCCCCGAAAAGGGAGCCUUGUUUCUGUUUGUCACCAUGUUUAUGUUUCAUUGCUCUAUUCAAGUUUCUAUAUAGACUUCCUGCAGCAUUUUUGUUGCUUUUUCUUAUCUACCUCUGGUCUUCCUCCACCACCAUUAUCUCUGGCAACAUUGUUCAUGUCUGUAUCUCGUCUCGGAAGCUCAAUAAUCAUUACUGCCUAUCUGCAGGUAGUACAAGACCCAAAUUUGAACUCCCAAAUCUCAAUAAUGCUACUCAUUACCUCCACACUCCUGACCCGAGUUCAAACCUCUCUAUCUCGAUAUCGCCUCCUUUGUCCCAAAAUAACAGUCCCAUUAGUCCUCCACCUCCUAAAGUCAGUAGUGAGAUUGUGAUCAGAGAGACUGUUCAAGUUGUCCAUGAUGAGUCUGAUCCAGUGAAGAAUGGAGCCAACAAAGAACGAGAAGAAGAGAUUGCAAAUGCAAAGAAGCAAGUUGAAGAGCAGCUAAGAUUGCACAGAUCAUGGAUAUCAAAUAAGAAGCAUGAAGGGUGUGAAGGAAGAGGAGUCUAUGUGUAUGACUUGCCAUCCAAGUUUAAUAAGGACUUGUUGGGUCAAUGCAGAGACAUGGUUCCAUGGAUGGAUUUCUGCGAGUAUUUCAAAAACGAGGCAUUGGGUGAAUCGAUUCCCAAGCUUGGAGAUGGGUGGUACCACACUCAUCAGUACUCAUUGGAGCCAAUAUUCCAUCAAAGGAUCUUGAAUCAUCCUUGCAGGGUUCACAGUGAGAAUGAAGCAAAGCUUUUCUAUGUUCCAUUCUAUGGAGGUUUGGACAUUCUGAGGUGGCAUUUCAAGAAUGUGUCCAAUGAUGUCAAGGACACUUUGAGCUUGGAGCUCAUAACAUGGCUUAAGAAGCAAGACUUUUGGAGGAAGAAUUCAGGUAGAGAUCAUGUGCUGGUGUUGGGGAAGAUUUCAUGGGAUUUUAGGCGAAAAGAUGGUUCGUGGGGGACGAACUUCCUCGAAAUUGAUCAAAUGCAAAAUCCAAUCAAGCUCUUGAUUGAGAGACAACCAUGGCAACAAAAUGACGUUGGAAUCCCACAUCCAACAUUCUUCCACCCGAAUUCAGACGAUGAUAUAAUGGCAUUGCAAUGGAAGAUCAUUAGCUCAUAUAGAAAAACGUUAGUGAGCUUCGCUGGUGCAGCAAGGCCUAGUGCAGCCGAGAGCAUAAGGUCCACAUUGAUCGAUCAGUGCAACUCAGCCGAAAAUGGGAAAUGUCACUUCCUCAACUGCCAUACAGGUGAUUGUGAUAAGCCAGAGUCGGUCAUUGAGCUUUUCAUGGAGUCUGAAUUCUGCUUGCAGCCACCAGGAGACAGCCCAACUCGAAAGUCCUUAUUUGAUUCAUUAAUAUCUGGUUGCAUCCCUGUGCUUUUCGAUCCUUUCACAGCUUAUUAUCAGUAUCCAUGGCAUCUCCCAGUGGAACAUGGAAAGUAUUCUGUGUUUAUAGACCAGAAAGAUGUGAGGGGAAUGAAGGUGAAUGUGGUGGAGAUGCUUAUGAAGAUUCCUAAGGAGAACAGGGAUGAUAUGAGGAGGCACAUUGUGUACGAGUUGUUGCCUGGUUUGGUUUAUGGGGAUUCAAAUGCCCAGUUUGACAAGUUUCAGGAUGCAUUUUCGAUUACAAUGAGUAAUCUGAUGGAGAGGGUCACCAAAUUGGAGUUAGCCGUAUAAUAUCUGAGGAUGAUUCAUGUAAUUUUCUCUUUUAUUUGUUGAUUUUUUUUUUUCAUCUCCCAUAUGUAGAAGGGAAGUUUAGAGGAAUAUCGAAUUACGGUAUACAUUCCUAUGCCUCCCUAAUUACGUUAAAUGCAAUUUUAUGUCACACGAACUCAAAUCUUUUCAAUUUUUUAUAAUGCGUUCAUCAUCGUGAAAAUAAUUAACUUUAAUCUUAUCGUCCAUAUUUAACAAAACUCAUCAAACAUGAGAAAAUAAUCAAUAAUCUUAUUUACAAGACAAAACUAUCACUUUCCAAACAAAACUUUACACCCAUAGGAGGCGAGGAGGGAAAGACAAACCAAAUUUUGGAUCAAAAUGAAGAUAAGAUCAAAACUCAAACAGCCAAGCAAAAUAUCCCAGUUCACAUAUUGUUCACACCCACAUACCCCCAAACCAUCACCACUGACGUCACACACCCCAAGCAUCUCACCGUUCACACACCCUAAAAACCACAUGACGUACACCCUGAUCCACCAAUCUCAGCCGUCCAUUUACCCUUCAUUUCCAAGACAGAUAACUCCGUGCUCGCGCCUCCACGUGUGACCUACUACACCACCUACGUGGAAGCCCCAAGCUCCUCCACGUCAACAUCCCAAAACCUUGUCGCCUACCAAAAAAAAAAAAGUGGACUUUUCUGAGUUUCUGUCUCACGCUAUAAAUCUGAAGCCUUUCUCUGUUUCUAGGCAUCGCAAAUGCUCUGUUCUUCUUCUCGUCUUGUCUUCCGUAGAAACCUCGCCGUCGCUGCAGCUCUUGUUUUCCCCAGGCAAUUCUCAACCGUUUCCAAGAAUACCCUCUUGCGUCCCUCGUGUUUUCCCUCCAUCAAAGCACAGUCUUUCAACCCAGUUUCGUCUUUUCAAUUCAAUCGAUCAAUGGCUAGCCAAUCCUCCCAACCAAAAACCGUCCACGACUUCACUGUCAAGGUUGGUUUUUUCUCUUUUUUCCUGAAUAAUUUUGGAUUUUUUUUAUAUUUUCGAUUAGCAGCAAUCAGACUAUGAAGGGUGUUUCUUUGUGUAGUUGUAUAUUGCUAGUGGGUUUUAGGUUGCGCAAAAUGUGUUGUGUUUCUUGUUAUGAUGUUAUAUAUUGGGACUUUGAUGUGUAUAAUUGUGUUGGUCUAUUUGUAGGAUGCCAGGGGCAAUGACGUUGAUCUGAGCACAUACAAAGGAAAGGUCCUUUUGAUUGUCAAUGUCGCAUCACAAUGGUACACCAUGCCUUCGCUUUUUUAUUAUGUUGCUGAUUAUACUAUGGCUAUGCUACAACUGAAUUGGCACUUUAGAUAAACAUAUUUCUCUUGGUAAUCAAGGUAGUUAGGUCCUUAGUUGUGAUGACCCUUGUCUCAAACUAGCAGUUGUCUCUGCUUUCGAUUUCGUCUUCUGUUGCCUUAUAGAGUUUGCAAAUCGAUUUUGAUGCAGUGGGUUGACCAAUUCAAACUACACAGAACUGGCUCAGUUGUACGAGAAGUACAAAACUCAAGGUUUACUUUCUAACUCCCUUUCUUCCUUUUGCUUCCUUAUAAUCCUUGUCGCUUCAUUGCUUUAUAGCUGAACUCGUGUAUCUGUUUCCUCUGCAGGUUUGGAGAUUUUGGCAUUCCCGUGCAAUCAGUUUGGAGCUCAGGAGCCAGGGUCUAAUGACGAGAUUGUGGAGUUUGCUUGCACUCGCUUUAAGGCCGAGUAUCCCAUCUUUGACAAGGUAUGAAGGCGAUUUUGUUUCCCAUAUGUUGAAUGGAAUCAAGUCAUUUGAGUAGCAGUGGAGUUUAACAUGCUUUAUGUUCUCAUUUUAGGUGGAUGUGAAUGGUGACAAAGCCACUCCAUUGUAUAAGUUCUUGAAGUCGAGCAAAGGUGGUCUCUUUGGUGACAGCAUCAAGUGGAACUUCUCCAAGUUCCUUGUUGACAAGGAAGGGAAUGUUGUCAACCGUUAUGCCCCAACAACUACUCCUCUUAGCAUCGAGGUACAUAACAAUUCGUGCAUUGCAGUGCAUAAAUGUACAACUCUUAGGUGAUAUUGAUUUUGCUGAUUGUCUCUUUUAACAUCAUUGUGGUUGGUCUUUGUGUUUGCAGAAGGAUGUGAAGAAGCUGUUGGGGGUUGCAUGAAUCAGCUCCUUAUGAAUAACUGAGAGGGUUUACUAGGAAUAAAAAACUGUAAUGAGAAUAAGUUUCUGUAUUGUUGGACAUGUUCUUAGAAAUUAUGUUUCUCUGAAGCAACCUGUAUGCUGUUUUCAUCAGUAUAAUUCAAUGAAUAUAUGCAUUCGAGCUUCAUACAUACAUGAUACAUGUUAGUCUGAUUGAUGCCUGUUGGGCUGUUGUAGUGUUGUACUCUUCCAGAUCAAAAAUAGUGGUGUGGUGGUUUCUAUAGUGACUAUUCAGAGCCAUAGGUCCAUAAAGUUGUGUUAACACUUCUCUUUUUCGAAGCAAAGAAGAAAACCAAAAGAUGCCGGCACCCAAUAGUGUCACAGGCUCAUCGAUAUAUUGUUAAGCAAUUCUAUGGUCACAACAACGGCCAAGCCAAGCAAAUCUUAUUAGGAAGAUAGGGACCAAAGUCCAUGAACGAUCUAAAUUCUGAAGAAAGCUGUAAAAGUAACAUCCACCAACGAGGGAUGACAAGAAUGGUAUUGGUAAGGCACUUAGAAGAAUCUCGUCCAACUAGGAGGGGCUAAAAUAGCUCUCAGGCUAAUUUUAGCCCAUGAAAAUCACCAUGUGCAUGAAUAGUGAGGGUUAAAAUUUUAAUCAUCUUCAACCUUUAGGACUAUAAACUUACAUACCAUGUUUAUUUCGAAGGUCUAUACAAAGGGUCAAAUAUAACCUAGCCCUUGGCCCUUGUAGCCCCUCAAACCCUAUUUUUGGUUUAGCAUAGCGGAGAUGGAAUUUGUGACUUUUGGGGGCUAGUCACAAAUCUCUUAUGGGUAGGUUGUUGAGUAUUGGGACCUGAAAAACUUGGUAAAAACUGUCACGUCCAGCCCCAGGCCUCCUACUGGGAUCUAAAUCUUGCCACAGUUGCACAGUGAAGAAUGCCAUCCAUGUACUAGUUGCAAUAUCCAAAAUAACUACACAUUCUACACAUUGAUAUUAGAGCUCUUUUUGAGAACCACAUUGUCUUGUUUGUACAAAUAAGGAUAUAUCAAGUAGAAAAGUGUAUCUCGAGUAAUGGUUGAUAAAAUAGUUAAUAAAUUUAGAUAAAAGUUAUAUUUAUCAAUUCAUUUUGAGAGUUGUGUUUCAGCAUAGUAGCUAUUAGAGAAAACUUAGCUAUUCAUUGACGAUUUGUCAAUUUUGCUUAUCAAUUUCUAAAUUUGUCAACUUCUUAAGUAUUCUGCUUGAAGUAAAUAAUCAUUUAAAAAUUAACAAAUCUCUAAUUUUUCUCUAUUUAUCAAUUCUGCUGGAGAAGCUAAAUGUAUGUGAGGUUGGAUGGAACCGACUAGCUUUUUAUAUUGUUUUGAUUUGAAGGAUAAAGGGAGGGGGAGGGGGAGACUAAGUCAAUAGCAAAGAUGACUAAUAGAAGCUAGACUAACAAUAAGUAUGAGUAGGUAGCUUACCAAUAACAGCGCGUACACAUUGCCUUAUAGGUUAUGAAAAUAGUCUUGGAAAGGCCGGAAAUGCAUUAGAGAGACAGUCAGAAACGUGUCGGAAACGUUUGGAAACGCCUCUGUAAAUACAUCGGAUACUAGGGGAUAAUACUGACUUUUUGCCUCAAAGAAGAACAUAAAAGAAAGCAAGGAGCUUUGGCAAUGCAAUGCGACGUCGAAGGCCUCUGCUCCACCCCAAACCCCACACCGCCGCCGCCACCGCCGCUUCCAAAUUGGGAGACAUCCUCCUGGUGGCCUCCAUCACCAAGACAUAUCCUUCUGCCUUAAACCUCUUCUGCUCCUACAAAAUAGUUGGGUCUUUAGUUGUGAUCACCCUAGUUUCAAAACUAGGAGUUGUACGUCUCUGCUUUUGAUUUCGUCUUCUGUUGCCUUAUAGACAGGGGCGAAGCUGUGCUCAGGCCCGAAGGGGUCUGAACCCCCCUUGGUUUUUGGAAAGUUUAGGUGCUUAAUUAGCUAAUUAUAUCAUUAUACCCCCCUUAAAUUUUCUACCUAUUAAUUAAUCUUGAAUGACAAAUCAAUUAUAUUAAGAAAUGUAUCUAUAAAUUGAUUGGUCUUUAUGUCUUACCAAUCGAAAUUGUUAAGAUAAUUGAUUUCUUUUAAUUAGUAAACAGGAAAAUUAAUGAAUUUACCAAAACAAAAAAUGUGAAGUAUUAAGUGAUGUGUAAAUUACUAUUUUCUUCAUUCGUACAUUUUUAAUGUUGCACGAGUUUAUGAGAUGUAUACAAUAAAAUUUUGCUUCAUUUAAAGAUGAUCAAAUUAAACUUUGAGUCAGGUAACUUUUUACAAAAUUUUAAUAUACACUUAUGUUAUAAUGUUUGGACCCCCCAAGAUUCAAAUCCUAGCUCCGCCACUGCUUAUAGAGCAAGUUUGCAAUUUGAUAUUGAUGCAGUGGCUUGACCAAUUCAAACAACACAGAGCUUGCUCAGUUGUAUGAGAAGUACAAAACUUCAAGGUUUAAUUUCUAACUCCUUUCUUCAUUUUGCUUACUUGUAAUUCUUCUCUUAAAUGAAUUAUAGCUAACUCGUGCAUGCAUGCCUUGUUUCUUUGCAGGUCUGGAGAUUUUGGCAUCCCCGUGCAAUCAGUUUGGAGCACAGGAGCCAGGGUCUAAUGACGAGAUUGUAGAGUUUGCUUGCACUCGGUUUAAGGCCGAUCGAGUAUCCCGGCCAUCUUUGACAAGCAGGUAUGAUGAAGGCGAUUUUGUUUUCCAUAUGUUGAAUGGAAUCAUGUCAGCAAGAAGCAGUGGAGUUUAACAUGCUUUUUAUUUCCCAUUUUAGGUGGAUGUGGAUGUUAAUGUCGGCAAGAAUAUAUGAGUUCUUCUCCUGGAAACAUUUUGUCAGCUGUACGUGAUGGACAAGCAACUACAAUUAAUCUUCUCCGGCGCUGCUCCUGCCUUCUCGACAUGAACAGAAAAUUCUAUAAGAAUGCAGUUUCUAGGGUUUGUAAAUUGUAAGUAAACUUUUAUAGUCACUCUAUAUAUAGAACGUACCUGCACGUAUACACAUGUCAAGGUUAUAUCCAAAUAUGGAGACAGUGCUGCAUGCUCACUCAUGGAAUAUAUGACUAUUAUUUCCACAUAUUUGAGUGUGUCGUCUGUGAAACUGCAGAAACUGCCAAAGCUUUUGACACGCAAUUAAUAUAUAUAUAUAUAUAUAUAUAUGAUAUAUAUGGAAAUAUAUAUAUAGAUCAAAUUACAAUUAGAAUUGGAAUGAACAAUUUAAACAGGUGGGGAUGACUCGUAUAAAUUUCCCUGGCAUGCAUGGGGCUAGAAGUAGGUAUUUCUUACCUCACAUACUAAAUGCAGACUUUUGCCGAAGCAGUCUGUCCUUUUCCAUGUAUAAGUUAGAAUAAUGCAGCUUAGGUUUAAAUUCUCGAUUUAUUUUCAAAGGCGGCAAGCAGCCACUUGCUGGAAAACAUGCCAGCAUUGGCCCUAGCUAUUAAGAUAUACGGUUGAAUGUGAUCUGAAAAUGUUUCGCGGUCAUCGACCAUCUUCAGCUUUUGGGUUUGGCAUGCAUAUGCAACUGUUUGCUACUAGCUCGAUCCUCCAUGAAUGUUUCUCUGUCAGAUCUCUCUAAUUUUCCGGUCAUUACACCUCAAAUUGAAAUCCACACUUACCUUUUUUUUUUUUUUGCAAUAAAAUUGGUAACUUAAAUUUUGUCUUUUAGUGACUUAAACUUUGUUUUUUAUGAAUGUGUUAACAAAAAAAUAAUAAUAAUAAUAAUAUGGAUUUCAAUUUAGGGUGUGUGGACAUCCAUUUAUGUCAUUUCUUUCAUUUGAAUGUCUAUAUAUGUACAUAUAUCUUUACGUACUGAAGUUGCUGAUGACAUGCACAGUACUUUUAGGUGGUCGUUACUCGUUAAAGACUGUAGCUCUCUCUCUCUCUCUCUCUCUCUCUCUCUCAGCUAGUGACCAUGAUCAGACCGAUGAAGAUAUAAACAUACUCAUAUAUGCACAUGCACAUUACAUAUGCCCGACUGUCCUGUCCUCGCAUGCACAAUACAAGCUGCUCUUGAGUCUUGACAUUAAACUUAUUGUUAGCUAGUCAUGACUCAUGAUGCAUAUACAUAUUGGCCUUUCAUUUCCGAUGGACCUCGAGAGUCGAGAAUACGAUGGAUUUUAUUUAUAGAAAUAGAAAAGGUACACAUACAUCCUAGCAAACUAAAUUAGAAACCUAAUCAAUUACAGAAGGUAAGGUGGACAUGCACCAACCUUACUCAGUUACUCUUCCUAGUGGGAACAAGCAAAUACAGAAGCGGCCUGAUCAUAUAGAUGUGCCGCAUUAUUCCAUCAAAGUUAGAGAAGACACGCAAGCAUACUUCGAUUCCAUGGAUAUAUAGGUUUCUAGUUAUAUGCUGCCUUAAAUCUUUCAAAGAAACUAAUAAUAUCGUCUGCAAUGAGAUCUGCAGUAUUGUCUGUGCUUGUGGUUCUGCUUAGAGGUACUUUGGUAUCCUUAGCUCCCCUAAGAUUGUCGCUCUUGAGUGGAAAGAGCUCCAGAGUUUGAGUUUCUCUACUUUCUUCUUCUCUUCUGUAAUUAGUGGGUUCAGUUAAUACCAUACGGCCGUAAUCAUGAUGAUAACAGUGACGAUAGUCCAAGAGCUUUCUGUGAAUUAACGUAGCGUCUGAGGUCGAUCUACGUGUAGCCAUUUGUUCCACAAGUUGCCUCGAGGAGCAAUCCACCAUGCUCAUCAUCCUCUCUUGCAGUACUGAAGAUGAUUCCUGAGGACGUACGGUAACGAGUGAAACUCAUGCAUAUAGGCUAAAACAGAAUAUCCAUAUCGAUCACGCAUUCCAUUCAUUCAUUUCUAUAUUCUCUUCUUGAGAUUUGGUUUGAUGAUACGAGUAUUACGUAUACCUGAUCAGAAAUAACAGUGCGGUUCGGUAGUUUCCACUUAUUCUGCUGCUCAACUUCAAGACUGAUCUGCUGCUCAACUUCAAGACUUGACUGAUUAGUUAGUCCUGCAAUUAUUAGACAAUUUCAGUAACAAGUGACAUAUCUGAGAAUUAACCUUUGCUAGCUUCUCAUCAACUUUGAAACUCAUAAAACCAGAUUCACAAGUCUUGGUACUCUUGUGCUCAAUCAAUUGAAUUUCUCUUAGCUAUUAGCUAGGGUUUGCUGAAUCUUGCCUGGUGACCACAAGGCACAAGUAUAUUAUUUGUACUGAAUCUCAUAAUUAUUAUCAAAUAUUAACACAAUCAUUCAGUCUCUACCCACCUCAUAACGUAGCUAAUCAAUAUGCAUGGUAUACACUUAUUGAGGUGGCUUCAACAAGUGUUGAGCCCUAGUCUCCCAUAGAGUCAUGCACAAAUCUAAUAAGAAAAUAAUGCAACUGAAUUGGUACCUCCUGCAGAUUCUUUGUCCUGGAGACCGCUAGUCGUGUUGUUAGUGAAAGUUUGCUGUUGUUUAGAGUCAGUCGACUUAUACAUGGACAUUACUUGACGUCGUCUCUUCUGCCUCUCCCUGGCUCGGUAGUUCUGAAACCAAUAAAAUACAUUCUUGCCUUCAAUUCUCCCAUAGUUUCGAAGCUGCACAGUCACCAGUUGGAUCUGUUUGGCCGUUGGUGUCUUUAACCCACAUCGAUACAUCUCUUUCAGGGCCAUAACCUGCUCCGGGGUUGGAGUCCAUCGGGACCUUCGCAAAGGAGCUGCAGCUUCGGAUUUUUUAUCAAUACAAAAACUACCACUACUGCUACUUCUCCCUUGCGCAGUCGACGUCGAUGUCCCUCGAACCACUGCACACAUAUAUAUGAAUACUACUGUUAUAUAUUAUCACUAUUAUCACCUACCCAGAACAUAAUUAAUCAAAGAUUUCUACAUAUAUAUAUACAUAUAUAUCAAUAUAUAUGUGAUCUAAUCAUAUAUUACUGUAUAUAUAUAUAUAUAUACAUCUGUACGUACUCUGAUGUUGAUGGUAGUUGAGUGGUAACACAGGGUUUUGGGUCGUACUGGAAGUAGAGGUAAGCUUUGGAGUGAGUAGUACUGCAGGCUGAUGAAGAUUUGCAGCAGCUUUGAUAUAGUAGUCAGGCAGCUGAUCCCUGGUAAUGUUCAUGUUAGGGUUUCUACAACUAGCGCUGAUGGAUUUCAUCAUCAAAAACAUCUAUAUAGGAUAGUUAUUUAAACGAGGAGGAUUGCUAAGCAGACAAGGGAAUGUUUUCAAUCGUGAGCAAAGAUGAGAAAGGGAUGAAUAUCACUGAGGAAGGUAUAUGUAUUUAUAGUCAUAAAGCUUGCUUACGUUGCUUACGUUCAGUUUCCAAAUUGACCAAAAAAUAAAAAAUUACUUUCAGGUUCCAAACAUGCAGGAUUAAUAAUGGAAAUAUACAGAAAAAAGAAAAGAAAAAAGAAGAUGACAUUGAGCUUGCGUAAACGAAGAUAGGGAAAUAAUGACAGCAUUAACUAGUUCCGAUCUUAUAUCUCACUAUCCUCCUGACAUGUACAUUUACUUAUCAACAAAACUAUGACGUCAAUUAUAACUACCACCUUUUUUACAUUAAUUAUUCAUCGACUUCAAUUCUAUUCGUAUAUUCGAUCAAUUUCAUUUAACUUGUACAUGUUUGCUUUAGUUUAAAAUGCGUUCGUGUUCCUACUCUGUGGAAACAUAAGUAACAUUUCAGAUUAAGCUAGUUUUAGGGAUAUGGAGAAUUUCCGUUAUCAAAUUUUGGGAGCAGAUCGAGCAUGCAAAAUCGAGCUAUGGAUCUUAGAAAAAUUCCAUUUUGAACGGCACGACUCUUUCUCGUUUUUGCUUAUGUUUUGGUUGCCUUUCUAUUUUGUUGUUUCACUUGCAUCUAAGACAAUUUCUAUCCAACGAUGUGUGAGGAAUACGUAGUCGAUCUAUUUACUGUUAAUCGUUGUAGGAAUUCACACCAGAUCAACAAAUUAAGAGGGUGGACCGUUUUAUAAAUAGAGAAGAAAAUUAAAGGUCUGCAAAUGAAAAUGAAACCUCGACUCCCAUCCAGAAAUAAACAGGCUAUAUAUGCAUACAUGCAUGCAGAAUAUACCAGAUAUAUAUGAUACAAUUAUAUAUGUGGUUUGGGAGUGCAAUACUGCAAUAAUACUGGAGCUUGCUUUGUUGUAGCUGGCUAGCUUAGGGUUAGCUGCUCAAGAAAUCACCAGAAUACAAAUGAUGGUCGGAAUUGUCACUCAGAUGAGCCGCCUGUUGGUAGUUGAUCAUCAGUUAUGUCUAUUACGUAUGCAUUUUUUUUUACAGAGAGAUACCAGUUGAGCCCCAAAGCUUUAACCCUUUCCGUAUAUUGUUGCCGCGUCAGCAAUGAUUUUGUAUCAUAAAUAUUAUUAAGACGGGCUGGACGUUGUUCCAGAUUUUGCAGACUUUGCCAUAACUUUGCUCGACGCCUUCCAUACAUUGUAGGUUAAUUUUUCCUUAUUAAUUUUCUCCAAUUUAUUCUCAUUUACUUCUCUUGCACACUACUGUUCCUCUCUGACUAUACAUAUUGAUUAUUUUUCAGAUCAUUAUAUGGGACAUUGUAGGGUUAGAAUACUCGAAUGACGUCACUGGACAUCACCAACAACAGAACGUACAACCGCAUGCAUAUGUAUACAUGCUUAAUUCGGCAAUAAUGGCCGAACAUCUUUAUGGUUUCGUUUGAAUGCAUGUAUCAUGUAUGCUAGGUAGCUAGCUCCUCUGAUCUUCCUGUUCCUUGCCAAUUCCGUUAUGGGGUUUCUCCUUUCGUUUUCUGAUACCCUCUUUUUAGAUUGUUUGCGGUAUUCGGAGACUCAAUCCCUAGCCUUGCCAAACUAGGCCACACUGGUUCGGCUCGAUGAUGGAGUACUAAUGCCACUCUCUCUUCUACCUUUGCUUUCUCUCUAUUUCUCUUCUUAUAAGUUGUAUUAGGGUUCUACGUUGUAAUUUAUUCUAUACUUUAGAAAGAAAGAAAAAUGAGAUAGAGAUGAAUUUGAUCGAUUAUGGCACAUAUAUUGAUGCUCACUAUACAAUAGGUACUUAUAGAUAGGCAUGAAAUGAUUGUGGCCUGGCCCGUGUUCAUUAAGCACCGGCUUUGAUUUGAUCGAGCUUAAUUAUAAUUCAGACGGUGACCAUUAGUUCACAGAGAACGUACGUUGUUGCCCGUAAUGUAUGUAUUUGAUAUAGAUCCAUAUGCAUAUAUGGACUGAUCGGACAUGUUUAUGCGCGCAUGCAUCAUAAAGAUGCUCCAUAUAUAUCCCCGUUAGCUAGCUCGCUGAUAAUUUACGCUUCAGCAGAUCGAACAAAGAGCCAUACUGAUAGAGGAUUCAAAUAAUCGAGCUGCGUUUAAACCAAUAUAAAUAGACGGUUGGAUUCAAAGAAUUUACGCCACGAACGAGAACGAGAGUGGAUUCAAGUUUAUAUGAUUCCAUUAUGUACGUUAAUUUCUGUAUUUAAUGGCUUCAUAUCCUCGUUAAAAAUAUGGAAUGCUGCAUCAUAUCGAUCAUGUAAAGGGCUUUUAAUUUCUGGAUACAUGAGCAUGAUGAGGUAGCUAGCUAGGUAGCUCGAUCAUCGUCACAUGCUGUCUUCUUUCAUCGAUCUCUUUGAUUAUGUACGUCAAUGUGAGUUUCAUCGAUCUCUUUCGAGAUGUCGUCACUCGAGCUCAUCCCCCAUAUAUCUGAGAAUCUGGGGAGAGUAAUUUUCAACUUAAAUGUUCAAGUCUGGGAUCCAUGAUGUGGCCGCCCCGUGAAUGCAAUAACGUUCAUUUGUUGCACCUCCUUGUCCAAUUGCGUAGCACAAUGAUUCUCACAUUCAUUUUGAUUCUGAUGAGACCUAAUAAUUUAGCGACUCAUCAUGUCCUUCCGGACCCGACUGUUUGUUCUUCUCUUUAUUAAUUCAGUGUUCACUAAGGGGGGUAAAUUCAGGCAUGCGAUGCUUGACAAACGGGACUGUUAAUUGUAAAACUAUCAGGCUGCUACGGUGAAAAGAGGAAAUCGGAUCCUAGAGAUGUAUUUUUGGUCAUCCAUUGUAGAUGUGUGACAAGGAAAUCGACAUAAAUGAGGCUUAUUAUAUGUUUUCGUAAGAAAAUAUUUGGAAUUUUAAAGAACAAACACUUAUAAUUAUGAAAAACAAAACACUUUCUUUUGUUUUGACCGUCCUAGAGUACGUACCUAAAAACUAAUCUAGUACAUCGACUGAAAAUUAUUGUAUGCAUGACGUGUAUUUACACGACUCAAUCUUAACCAGUUAACCGUUCAUAACAAUUCAUAUAUUUGACCACCAUGUUUCUAUAUUAUUACCUCAAAUCCUGACCAUUUAUGUAUGUAUGUAAAGACACUACUGGAAAAUAGCACUUAGGCGACAGAAUUAAAAAAUUCCGUCUCCUAAGUGGUACUAGUCCUCAUCAUUUGGCUCUUCGGCCAUAACCCGCCCUACCCUAUAGGGCCGAAGCCCCACUCGACCCUCCGUUAGGGCGGGCCGGCCCUAUCCCUUUUCAAUUAGGGUAGGGCAAGGGUCAAGCAAAUGAAACUCAACUCUACCCUAAUAAGCCCUUUAUGGCCAAGCUGGAAAACCCGCCCUUUAGGCCCCAUUAAUUUCUUAAUUUUCUAUUGUUUUUAAUAUGUUUCUUGUUUUUUAUACAAUACAACUAAUCUUCUUUUUUAUAAUUUAUUUUGUAAGCUUUAUUUCUUUAGUUUUUAUUUUGCUUUGUUAAAUAACAAUUGAUUUUUGAUGAUUUAAAGAGAUAGUUAAUUAGAUAUAUGAAUAUAACUACUUAGAUUAAUAAUUCUAGAUGUCUUAAGUUAAAUAUCAUGUAUAUGUAUGUUAAACAUGACUAAAAAUAGGGUCUUGUAUCCCUUGAGGUAAUUUUUGAGAAAAAAAAAAUUAAAACUAAUAAAUUUAUUUUGUACAAAAUAAUGUCAUAUUCAACCCAUUCGGCCCUAUUUAAUUAGUCCUAAAAUGCUGGCCCUACCCAGCCCUAUUAGCCCUAACGAAAUGGGUUUUAAGGGCGGGCAAGGGCUUGCAUAUUUAAGCCCCGGUCCGGCCCUAAAUUUUGUUGACCAACUCAAAGCUUUACCCGACCCUACUCUAAGCCCUAAAAUUUAGGGUAGGGCUGGCCCUAACCCGGUCCAUGAUGAGGCCUAAGUGAUACUUAAGCGACGAAAUUUUCUACUUAGGAGACGAAAUUUCAUUCCGUCGCUUAUGUACUACUUAGGAGAUAGAAUAUUUUUACUUAGACGACGACAUUUUGAAAAAAUAAAAAUUAAAAAGUUUAUAUGAAUUACUUAGGAGACGGAACUACAUUCUGUAGCCUAAGUAGAACUUAGGAGAUAGAAAUGUUUACUUAGGAGACGGAAUGUUUUUUUUUUAAAAAAAAAAUUAUGAAUCACUUAGACGACUGAAAUAGAACAUUUCGUCGCUUAAGUUCUAAAAAUUUGAGCGCCCAUCUUCCCACGUAAAAUUUCAUUAAAAUUCAAACCAAAAUUUUUCAAAACAUAUCAAUUCUUUUGAAUCACACACUCACCAACCUUAUCAAUAGAAUGAAACCCAUCUUUUCUCAGAGCUCUCUCUCUCUCUCUCUCUCUCUCUCUCUCUCCAGACCAUCACUCUCAUGCCGGCCUCUCUCUCCAUUCUCACCGCUCCUUCCUCCGCCACCACCUUCAACUACACCACCCCCACCUCCAACUGCCACAGGCUCAUCGACUUCGUCCCCACAAACGCCACCACUCUCAACGCUGUCAAGACCCUCUUCAACAUCACUCUGCCACCUCCACACCCUCCUCGGAGCCAACAACCUCCCCCUCUCGACCCAUCCCCGUCGCCAGCAAGCUCAUCGUCCCCUUCUUUUGCACCGAGCCUCAGAUUUGGGUCCGAUCUCCGCGACCACAGACGUCGUUGUCGUAACCUUUCUCUCUCUACCAAGCAUUCCCACCGACCCACCACCGUCCCUCAAAAUUUCAAAGGAGUAAGAAAUCAAGGUAAGUUCUUCAAUUUUUCUGGUUUAAUUAUCUUUGGUAUGUGUGUCACAUCCCGACCCUUAUAUUUUUUACCUUAUUUACUAGCUUGAUUAUAAUAAGAAUUUUACCGUCUCCGUCAUUGAGGUAAUUAUAGUUUAAUUGGUCCCUAGAGGGGUUUCGGGGACGAUUAUGUGCGGAGGAUUAUUCGUGGGAGGAAAAUAUGAUGACAGUAAAAAUGGUAAAUUUUAACUAGUAAAAGGUAAUUUUUAUUCGGGUAUUAUUUUUUCGGGGUGUUUUAUUUUGGAGUGGGUUGAUAUAUGAGUAUUGGACCGGUUUGGAGAGGCCUAAACCCAUCUCCCUCUUUUUCUUUUCUCUCUCUCUCUCCCAGUUUUCCUCCCAAGCCCCUCCCCCUGCUGGAAACUUCUUACCGUCCGUCUGCCGCCGUCCGGCCACCAUCCGUCGCCGCAUCGGUCCCAUUCGGUCGGUCUCCAACCCAGCAUCCUCCUUGGCCCGGUGACAGCUCCCCUAGCGUCGCCGUGAGUGAGGAACGACGCCCGAAGCCGUUGGAAGCCGUGGUGGUUCUCUCGCCGGAGCUCUCUCCUCCAGCCACCAAAAGCGGUGAUCCUUAGCUCGUUUUGUAGCCCUCCUCCCGUGCAGCUACCCUUCUAAAGAGCUCACUCUGACACGACCCACCCCGAAUUUCACCCUGAAACCCGGAGUAAGUCGUGCGAGGACCACCUCCAAGGAAAAUUUACUGAAAAGAUUGAGAAAAUCUCCCUUGAAAAUGGACAACCCUAACUCGAAAAUUCCAAAUUACACUCUUAAUACAACACGUCCAAACAUCACAUAAUUAUCCUUCAGAAAUUCUAAACAUAAUAUACAAUAAUCCCAAAGUAUUCAGAGCUACUAGACACUAGCGGAAGCAAGAAAACACUAGUAGGUUAAACAUGUAACUUACUGAUGAAAACUGGCGGAAAUACGGGUGACUAUGCCUCGCCUCCUACUAGAUCCAACCCGAACUCUGCAGACUAGGCAUUUUAAAAAGAAGGGUAUAGGGGAAAACAUUUGAAACCGUUAGAGUGAGUGGACAAAAAUAACUUUUUAAAAGAAAAUUAAUCUUUAUGCUUUCCCGAUUUAUCUUUAGUGGAAAAACAAUUAAUGACAUGCAACUAGCUCAAAAGAUUUUAAAAAUUUACCGAAUUAUCAAAACGUGACUAGCCGCGCUAGUCACCAACACUUCAAAAAUAAGAGCCUCUCAGGCUAAAAUAAAAUAUGUAUGUAUUACACUCGUCAUAUCUCUUGUAUGAAUUUUCUUGAAACAAUAAAGACAAAUAGAAAAUUCACACAAGGCUACGACGCUUGCGUCUAACGCUCACGUCGCACCAUAAUGGCAUUUUACCUCAUUAUGGUGGAAAAGACGGUGUAUAAAUUUAUAUACGCGCAUAUCCCCUAUAUAAAUUAUUAUAUUUAUAUAGGGCUACGACGAUUGCGUCUAACGCUCACGUCGCACCAUAAUGGAAUUUUACCUCAGUAUGGUGGAAAAGCACGUAUAGCUAGCUAGCAUUUCUCCAUAUACAUAUUAUUCUCAUAAACAUCCAAAUAUGGAUAUAUAUACAUACUCACUGAAAUUCUCAAUUUCGGUUAAUCUCUAACAACCUAAAUUAUUUUGCAUGCACAUUGUUUAAAAUAAAAGUCCACUCACUAAUUAGGCUUAAGCCUGAUGACGCUUCGAGGCUUCCUCUGCUCGGGCCUCCUCUUGUCCUGUUCCAAAAAUAUAGUUAAUUCCCCACUAAAAAUCCAAUAUUUAAUCCAAAUAGGCAAAAUUACCCGAGAGCCAUAAAUACGCUCAUCAUUGCCUAACUUCGAUAUUCUUCAAUUGAAACGAUCCAAACUUAAAUAUCAUACUUGACAGUCGUAAAUACAACCUCCCCAAAAUACGAUUUAAAUCCUAUGGCCGGAUUCUACAUUAAUUAACCGCCAAAAAUACCAAACUUCGGAAAAUCACAAACCUAUCCAAAUCUCAUCCAAAAAUUCCAUAAAUCACAUCAAUAUAAUCCCUUUAAUAUUCCACAUUUAAAACCCUAAAAAUCUCCCAAAUCGGCGGCAGCGGCGGCAGCGGCGGCCGGAAGCCAAUUCCGGCGACCUCCAAAACCUAUGAAAUUUUGAUAGAAUAAUCCUCUCAUCAUGCUCUACAACUUUCCUAACUAGCACAAACACCAAUUCCAAGCCUAACUAGGGCAAUCGACUAAAAACAUCAAAAACACCAUAAAACUUCCACCUCAAAUUUCUCCUUACCUAGCUCAAGAGGGAGUAAGUCCUUUUAGGGCAAGGCUGCUGGGUUGGAGGGCUACAAAACCGUACCAAGCUUGCCCGGAUUGGUGGCCGGAGGAGGGAGUUCCGGCGAAAUGCUUUCCGGCGUCUCCAGCGGGAUUUCUCCACUUCAGGCGGGUUAGAGGCUCGGGGGCUAGGCCGGGGAGGGAGUAGAGGAGAUGGGGGUCCGGAACUGAGAUGGAGAGGCGGCAGAUGGUGGCCGGACGGCGGCAGGAGGACGGCUGGAAAACCGGGCAGCGGGAGGGGCUCGGGAGAGAGAGGGAACCGGGAGGAGAAAAGAGAAGAAAAGAGAAAAUGGGUUUGGGCGUCACACCCCAAACCGGUCUAAGCUUAUAACAACCCAAUUCCAAAAAAUAAAACACCCCGAAAAAUAAUACCCGAAUAAAAAUUACCUUUUACUCGUUAAGAUUUUACCAUUUUUACCGUCGUCAUAUUUUCUCCUACGAAUAAUCCUCCGUACAUAAUCGUCCCCGAAACUCCUCUAGGGACCAAUUAAACUAUUAACUCAAUGACGGAGACGGUAAAAUUCUUAUUAUAAUCAAGCUAGUAAAUAAGGUAAAAAUAUAAGGGUCGGGAUGUGACACACUCUCUUGAGCUAGGUAAGGAGAAAUGUGGAGUUGAAAUUUCUAGGGCUUUUAGGAUGUUUUUAGUCGAUUACCUUAGUUAGGCUUGGAAUUGGUGUUUGUGCUAGUUAAGAGAGUUGUAGAGCAUGAUGAGAGGAUUAUUCUGUCAAAAUUUCAUAGGCAUUGGAGGUCGCUAGAAUCGGCCUCCGGCCGCCACUGCCGGCGGAGCCUGCGCCGGUGCCGGCGCUGUUUGGGAGAUUUUUAAGGUUUUAAAUGUGGAAUAUUAAGGGGAGUUUAUUGAAGUGAAUUAUGGAAUUUUUGGAUGAGUUUCGGAUAGGUUUGUGAUUUUCCGAAGUUUAGUAUUUUGACGGUUAAAUAAUGUAGAAUCCGACCGUAAGAUUUAAGUCGUAUUUUGGGGGAGGUUGUAUUUGCGGCUGCCGGUAUGUUCGGUGAAGUUUGAGCCAUAUUGAGUUAAGAAUGACGAAGUUGGGCAAUGAUGAGUGUGUGAGAGGCUCACGUUUAAUUUUGCCCAUUUUGUUUAAUUAUUGGAUUUUUAGUGGGAAAUUAAUAUUAUAUUUGGAACAGGACGUGAGGAGGCUCGAGCAGACGAAGGCCCCAGAUCGACAUCAGGCUUAGGCCAAAUUAGUGAGUGGACGUUUAUUUUAAAUAAAUGCAUGUUAUAGUUCAUGGUUGAACAAUAAAUGUUGCGGAAUAUUUUGACGUCAUUUUAAUUUGAUGAUUUUUAUUUAUCUUUGAGAGUUACCGAAAAUGGGAUUUUCGGUGGAUAUAAAUAUUUAUUUAUGAGAGAGUAUGUAUAUAAAUGCUACCUAGCCAUAUGUGUCUGUCCACCUUAAUGGCGUAGCAUAUAGCCGCAUUAUGGUGUGACGUGAGCGUUGGACGUGAGCGUAGUAGCCUUAUAUGAGUGUUUAAUUCACAUAGGGGGUAUGGACACAUAUUUAUACACCCGUCUGUCCACCUUAAUGGCGUAGUGUAGCAUCGCAUUAAGACGUGACAUGAACGUUGGACGCGAGCGUAGUAGCCCUAUAUAGACCCAUGAAUUUAUAUAGGGAGUAUGAACGUGUGUGAAUACAUACAUAUAUUAUAGAGUAUGAGAGGCUCGAUAUUUUAUGAGAUAAAAGUUUUCUUGCUUGCGGCAUGCAUUCGAUUUUUCCUUAGAAAUUAAUUUGGGGAAACAUAAAUAUUUUAUUUAUUAAUUUAUUUUUGUCCACUCACUCUAACGUUAUUAAAUGUUUUUCCUCUAGGUCCUUCGUUUUAAAAAUGCCCAGUCUGCAGAGUUCGGGUUGGAUCUAGUAGGAGGCGAGGCAUAGUCACCCGCAUUUCUGCCAGUUUUCAUCAGUAGGUUACCUGUUCAACAUACUCGUGUUUUUCUGCUUCUGUUAGAGUCUAGUAGUUCUGGAUACUUUGGGAUUAUUGUUUAUUAUUUCGGUGGUGUGCUCAGCUUGAUGAUUUGAUGUUUAGAAUUUCUGAAGGAUAAUAUUUGCUUUUAUUAGCUGGAUUUUUAUGUGAAGUAUGGACGUGUUGUAGUAAGAGUGUAAAUUUGAAAUUUUCGAGUUAGGGUUAUCCAUUUUCAAGGGAGGUUUUACCAAUCUUUUCAGUAAAUUUUCCUUGGAGGUGGUCCCCGUACGACUUAUUCCGAGUUUCAGGGUGAAAUUUGGGGUGGGUCGUGUCAAUGUGUUUUUGUUUAAUUUGAUUUUAAUUUUGGUUAGGAUGUGAUUGGUAUGAUGGUGAUGGCAUGGUGGUUAUUUGGUACGGUGGUGGUGCUGGUGGUGGUAUAUUUGGGGAAGAUUGUUGGCAUAAAAUUGAAAGGGAGAUACUUACUCUAUUGAAGUUUACUGCCCCCCAGUAAAAAUUUACUGGGGGGCAGUAAACUUCCAUUGGGUAUACUAGGGGGCAAUGAAUUUGUUUAUUAGGGUAAGAAUGGGUAUUUGUUGUGUAUAAUUGGCAUAAAAUUGAAAGGGAGAUAUUGUAUUGAAUUUUAUUGAUCCUCAGUAGAAGUUUAUUGUCCCUAGUAAACUUCUACUGGGUUCACUAGGGGCCAAUAAAGUUGUUUAUUAGGGUAAAAAUUGGUAUCUGUUGUGUGUUGUGGCCCUGAAAUUGAAAGGGAGUUAUUUUUUGCAAGUUUACUGAUCCCCAGUAGAAGUUUACUGGGGGACAGUAAACUUUAUUUUUUCCAUAUGCAGUUUAUAAAUAUAAGUUUUUACUACUUAUAUGCAGGAUGAGAAGAAGUUCAAGACAUUUAGUUGUGACUUCUGAAACCUGCGGUGGUGGUGGUAUUUGAGGCGGUCAGAGUGAGUAGAUAAAAAACCUGCGGUGGAGUUUUUAAUUUUUUUUUCAGCCUUUAGCGACGGAAUUCAACUAUUCCGUCUCCUAAGUGGAUAAUUUUUCUUUAUUAUAAAAUAAAAUCCGUCGCCUAAGUUCUUAGGAGACGGCUCCUAAGAACCACUUAAGAGACAGAAUUUUAGGUUCCGUCGCCUAAGUGUCUACAUCACCACACUUAGCCGACGGACGUUCCGUCUCCUAAGUACUUAGGAGACGAAAUCUGUCACUUAGGAGACUAAAUAAUUCCGUCUCCUAAGUGCUUUUUUCUAGUAGUGAGAUACACGUCGUGUACUGAAGAUGUUCUCUCAUACAUCGACACAUGUGAAAUGCACAAACUACACAAACGAAUAACAGUGGAUUGGUUUGGGCCGUGUGGCAAAUGGGCUUCUCAGCCUGGAUAGUAACUGGAAAGUCAAAGAGGCUACUUCUCUCGGCCUCCCAGUUUCAGUUUCCUCGUACUUCUCUGUUUAGAGCAAGAUAGUACGAUCAUGGCGACUCAACCUACUGAGACCCCCAAGACAAUUUAUGACUUCACUGUUAAGGUAAAAAGCUUAAAGGUUUGUAUUCAAUCAGUUUCUGCUAUAAAUUUUAGAUGGGUCUGUAAAUGUUCAUUGAAAAUGUGAAUAAAUUAGGAAGUUGAUGGUAUUUCUGAUGACAUUUGAUUGUGUUUAAUAUGCUAUGUUUCUAAAUCAUUGAAGAAAUUUGAUUGCUUUUAUCUUACUCUGGUUGGUAUUCUCAUAUUUAGAAGUUUAUCUUUUAGUCUGGUUGGUUUGCAUGUUUGGAAGGAUGAGAGAGUAAGAAAUCAAUGGAAUUGUGAUUUUGUUGAAGUCUGUGUUGGAAAAUGGAAAAUGAGUUGAAGAAGUGUUCUUUGUAGAUUCAAUGGAUUGAUUUUGCAAUCGCUUUGAUGGUUGAUUUGGUUUGUUUGUUAAUGCAGGAUGCUAAGGGGAAUGAUGUGGAUCUUAGUGUGUACAAGGGAAAAGUUCUACUGAUUGUCAAUGUUGCUUCCAAAUGGUAUUCACCUCAUCAACGCCGAUUCUCGCAUUUGCUGUUUCUUUCUUCUAUUGUUCACUGCUGUUUUCUUUUUGUGUUGAUUUGUUGUAGUGGACUGACCAAUGCAAAUUACACGGAGCUGAAUCAACUAUAUCAACAAUAUAAAGACCAAGGUUUUGAACAAGUUUAGUAUUAUAAAUUUGACUGUUUUGCAUAAAUGACACUGACAAUCUUAACUUAUAUCGGAAAACCAAGAACUCUGACGGUUUUCCCUCAUCAUAUGCAUACGGCUAGUACAAAAGUUCAUUGAAAUUUACUUUUGUGGUUGUUUGCCUUUUAUGUAUGCUAUACUGGUUGGUGCAGGCUUGGAGAUACUGGCGUUUCCAUGCAACCAGUUUGGUGAAGAGGAACCAGGAAGUAAUAAAGAGAUUGAAGACUUUGUCUGCACUCGUUUCAAAUCAGAAUUUCCAAUUUUUGACAAGGUAAAUUUUGAAAGUUAUGCUGCAUCCACUUUCCCACACUUCACUUCUAUUCUUCUUAUAGGCAGACACAAGGGGUUUCAACCAUAAGCUCCUCUAUUGUCUUUGUCUAAUGAUGAGGAAGUGCAUUACCAUCUGUGCUUGGCAACAAACUUAAAUCUACUCAUUUUGAUCCAUUGAGGAACUCUCUUUUUAACAAAUUUCGUUUCAGUGGUUUCAAAUAUGCUAUAUAAAGUAGUGAGUAGACGAGUAGUUAUGCUAGCUAAUUGACCAGCUAUUAACUGUAUUGCAAAUUAGUAAUUGACAUGUCUUCUUUCCUCCAGCCAUGUGAUAGCUUUGAUGUAGUUUUGUCAUCUUGUUGGAUGCUAUUCAUGUUUUCACCAUCUCUUGUUUAUGUGUUAGAUCGAUGUAAACGGUGACAAUGCUGCUCCACUGUACAAGUUCUUGAAGUCGGGCAAAAGGGGAGUCUUUGGAGAUGACAUUCAAUGGAACUUUUCGAAGUUUCUAGUUGACAAGGAUGGUAUAGUUGCUCACCGGUAUUACCCUACAACUGCCACCCUUAGCCUUGAGGUAAAAGCUCAGAUGUCUGGUUCUUCAUUUCGAUAAUGUUAUGCUGAUGUUUUAUCUUAUUUUGAUAAUCUACCUAUAGAUGAAAAAUGAUCGCCUUUACAUACCAAACUUGUUUUGCAGUGCGACAUAAAGAAGCUGUUGGGAGUUUCAUGAGUGCAAAGAUCGGCUAUAUGAGCAUUUAUGCUUGCUAUUUGUACCAGGAAGUGGAAGAAGGGCUUGCUUUUGAGUUUUUGUGCCGUUUGAAAGAGACAUUAAGGUUGUAUCUGUACGACUGUACAUGUCAUAUCAAACUGAGCAAAACCAUUUGUAAUGUAUGAUUUGAUUUAGUCGAAAUUCAGACUCUUGAAAUUACACUACCUUUUCACUGGAUGAAAUCGGUCCUAGUAGCAAGGCAGCAUUCUUUCAGACUACAAGUCUUACUUAGAUCAUACCUGGUACAGGGAGCACAAGAAAGUGCUCUAAAUGAAUUGAAGCAUCAGAGCAUAGAAUUUGCAUCCAUCAGAACUAGUCUUAGAUCAUUACGAUACAUCAAAAUUUAUGCAAUGAAACAAUUAACUAGAAAAAUAGGUUAGUGAGUAGGCAAUCGUGCACUCUUUGUUAAUCGGUGUUUGCCUGUUUGGUAUUUGAUACAUAAUUAUUUUCUUGAUGUAUAUUGUAAUCUAGACCUGAGAGCAGCUGCACCAGCUCUAUUUCGGAAAAAAAAAAAAAAAAAAAUUCUAGUAAAUUAGGAGAAAUGUCAAGGACCUAGACGUCAUUUUCAAAGUCAAAUGAGAAUUUUCUCCAUGUUCCUAAGAGCCGCUUAUUAUAUGUUUGCUGAUUCUGUCACUUAUUGUCUUAUUCUACUCCAGAGUUCAACCCAGAAAAUAGGAUGGCAACCUCUGAGGCCACAAAGACGAUCUACGACUUCACUGUCAAGGUAAUCCUAUGUUUCAUCUAGUUUAUGCUAUGUUAUAAAGGACCUGGGUCUUCAAAUGUUCUUCAAAAUGUGAUUCUUUAGUAGGUGGAUAGUUUUGACUGCGGGAUUGUGCUGAUUAUAAACUUUUCUCUGGAAAUACUUGUCUAAGAUUAAAACUUUGAAUGAUGGGCUUCCUUUUUGACAUGUUUGAGAUUUUCUGUUCCUUGGUCUAGUCGAUUGUCAAGAAAGAAGCAUAAUUGAAAGUUUCUGGGGUGAAAACUGUUUGAACUAUAUUCUCACUAGGCACCCUCAAUCAAUGAAGAUACUCUACUUAGUUUACCAAAUGUUCAACAAUUACUUAGACGAUAUACAACUGUUUUGAUCCACUGAGUUCCUGAAAUUGGAACAUUUAGAAAUUGUGAUUGGAAUGUGAAGGGAAUGUUUGGUUUCUGUUGAAUCUAUGUGGGAGGUUGGAUUGAGUUGAGAAAUUGAUGUUCCUUUAUCAAAUUUUGUUGCUCCUCGGAUGGAUAUUAAUUUGAAUGUUAGUGCAGGAUGCUAAGGGGAAUGAUGUGGAUCUUAGCGUCUACAAGGGAAAAGUUCUGCUCAUUGUCAAUGUUGCUUCCAAAUGGUAUCUUCAUAUCCGUGCUUCUCAAAUUUUUUUCUUCUUUAAUGAAAUAGAAAAGUUAUUAUCUUUUCACUUCGUUUUCCGCUGAUUUACUGCAGUGGACUGACAAACUCAAACUACACAGAGCUGAAUCAACUAUAUGAAAAGUAUAAAGAUCAAGGUGUAAAUUUUAAACACUACUAUUGUUCUUUCAUACCUAUCAUUUUGAGAACCAUUGGAAACUGUAAUGUAGUAACCAGUUUAGGAAGUUUAUUGUUAAGCUGACAUCAUCAAGUUUUUUAUAUUUGUCAUGUGGGUUAUGUUUCUUGAUUACUUCCUCUCUCUAGAAUGUGCAGAUCUGCUGCUUGUUUCAUUUUCAUAUAAAUUUUCAUUGUUUUGCUGCUUUUGCAUAUGGAACAGUCUUACUUUAUUAGAGAAACACAGUGAUCUGGGUGUAAAUCAGAAAUGACCUUUUCAAAUGUAUUAUAUCUAGUUCAGAAGUUCUGAAUCCAACCCUUUUCACUAUUUUUUUCUUUUGUUUGAUUUACUGUGGGUUGAUGCAGGAUUUGAGAUACUGGCAUUUCCUUGCAAUCAGUUUGCUGGACAGGAACCGGGAAGUAAUGAAGAGAUUGAAGAGUUUGUCUGCACUCGUUUCAAAUCAGAAUUUCCGAUAUUUGACAAGGUAGAUCCUGAAAAUGUUGUAGCAUUAACUAUCCCGUUACUCAAAACUGUUACAAUUUUCUGCCUGUCGUCAAAAGGUUUUCCGACCACAAGCUCAUUAUUGUUUCUGUAAAUGAUGUGGAAGCAUGCAACACUCAUUUCCGUCAUUUAGAGCAUAGCUCUGUUUAUAAGUUUUAGGUUAAAUCAAGUGGAAUAGUAGUAGUAAAUGACUACUUACUUGUAAUUCCUUUUGAGCUAUUGCAAGUUUAGAAAGUUUGUACCUGCUGUUCCUCUGUUUAUUUCAACUAGAAUCUAAUAGCUUCACGAGUUCAUGGUCAUAAUUAAUGUGAGAUGUGGUUUAUAAUUUGAACCUCGUUUGUUAUUUUGUUAGAUUGAAGUAAAUGGUGAUAACUCUGCUCCACUGUACAAAUUCUUGAAGUCGGGCAACUGGGGUUUCUUUAAAGACGAUAUUCAGUGGAACUUUUCCAAAUUUCUAGUCGACAGAGAUGGGAAAGUUGCUGAUCGCUAUUAUCCUACAACUGCCACCCUUAGUCUUGAGGUAAAAACAAGAUGUCUGGUUCCCGAUUUUUAAUUUAUUGUGUUGCGUUGCUGUUUAGUGUGGUAUAUCAAUUAUGAGAGUAGAGUUUUUCAUGUCUGCAACAUAACCUUUUAAUAUCGUACUUUUUCUGCAGCAUGGCAUAAAGAAGCUGUUAGGAGUCUCAUGAAUGCUGAAAUAUGAAGGCUUCAACGGGUCACAGCACAGUUAAGCAGUAUGCAUAUCGCUUUUGUGUAUGAAAGGAAAAAAUAAAAUUAAAAAGCUUGCUUUGUGUCUCCAAGACUAGUUAAUAUUGGAUUAAGCACAGUCGUUCCUAUCAGUUCCUCCAACUGAAGAAACAUGUUUAUUUCUUGUGUGGAUGUUUGAUGAUGAUCAUAUCUGCUAGUGUGGUAAAAUAGUUCAGUAGAUAUAAUCUAGAUUCAAAUCUUGAAAUUCUGCUUGGUUUGUUGCAACAUUUCAAAAGGAAACCUCAUUCCCCUGUCGACUAUACUCACACUCAUGGCAUAUAUUAUGCAUGUUAAUCGGAAGAAGUCUAGAAAUCAUCAUGGUCCAUAGAAUUUUGAUUCAACUGAAAAAUAAAUACCUAACAUUGAAAGAGACUAGUAAAUGUUUUUUGAGGACAUAGCAUCUGAUAUAUCAUGUCUUGCUCAGAAAGUUGGCUGAGUCCAUACAUAUGGUUUCUGAACGUGACAUGAGUUCGGUAUGAAUGGUUGGACUUCCCUAUCUUCCAUACUAAAAACUCCCAGCUCAAAAUGAGUCCGAGUAGAUUUACUACUCCGAUGUCUUGCAAAGUAUAUGCAAUUGGCCUUGCAACCAGAAGAGCCUGAGACCUCUAUGGAGAAGGAAGAAUUUCUCAAACUUAGAAACAAGGCUCGGUUCCCCAAGUUCUUUACCUCCUCCGCUUCCAACCAGUUCCCACUACUAAGUGGCACCUCAAAAACCCUAAACCCAUUUUGACAAGUGUGUUCAAGCCUUAAAACCAACAGUAAGGCACCACCUGAUUCUACCAGGUACAGUUGAUUUACACUAUAUCUACUCCUCCAUGUUGGACUCUCUGAAACAGCCACCUUAUUUGCUGUUGCAUCCUCCGGGUCAUCAAUGUCAAAAACCAACACACGGCCAUCGGAGUCGACGAUAUAAAAUUGUCCUCUGUAAUAAGCUAUAUCAUAAGAUCGCCUAUCUGAAUCCCAAUCCCAUGUAUCUAGUUUUGAUGAUAUAAAAUUCCAUUCCUUGUCCUUGGGUCUCCAGAAAGCGAACUCUCCCCCGUGAUCAGUAGAAACCAUGACUGUGUAAUCUGAUGUCAGAGAAGGACUACAUGAUAACACAAACUUACGUAGAGACCCAAAUUCAAAGGUUGGUAGCACAAUUUCUUCAUGUUUGAAAGGAUGCAACAGAUAAAUAUGUCUCGAAUCAGAAGUACUCAAAUGUCUAGAUGAUGCAGUGAUGAACCAUCCAAGAGAAGACAUACAAAAGGGCUUUAAUUGACGACGUUGAGUGAUGGUCUUUGGUAUAUUAAACCUAGAAACCUUACCUUUUCUGAGGUUGUAACACUGGCCGGGAAUAGGAUUACUAUUGUCCUUUAUACCUGGAAGCAUAGUGGAACUUGAUGUGUUAAUCCAGGAGUAAAGUUUUCUUUGGUGGCGGCAGAACUCCAUGGUUUACAAACUGCGCCAAAAAUGACGAAGUCUUGCAUCGAAUCUAUUUUUCGGGAGAUACACACAACAAGCUCCUGAGGAAGAUCAGACCAGUUAGCCAUUGAUGACUUGCAAGACAUUGGUUCCAUGGAGGAUUAUACGCACCAAAAUUUGUCUGCUAGGGUUCUCAACAAGCUUUAUCGAACAUGUUAAGCUUUAUUGAUCAUGAAUUCAUGAUUAACAUAAAGCCCACCAACGGGUCUGCCUUUUGAACCCAACUUUUCGUUGGCCCAAAUGUGAUGCAGUAGGCAACACCAAAGAACCUUGGUUUUUUAACUUUUUUGUUUAUUUUUAACCUAAUAUAUGCCGGAAGAUCAUGUCGAUCAAAACGUUUUAGCCUCUCUGGCCAUUAAGAAUAAAUCGGUAUUUAACUUCAAUCAAUAUCGGCGAAUUUUGAAUCUAAGUAAGGGUUCGAUACCUAGGCUCUUACCAACUCGAGGUGGUGGUUGUAGGUUGGAGGGCCUAAGUUCCACUCACAAACAUUUUCAUGUAGCUCUUUUUUACUACUGUAAAUAGUUCUCAACUCAUUUACGAUUGAAUUCAAGUUUGAUGCUCAAACCAAAUUUGACUAAAUCUCAAGUUCUCAACAACCUUGACCAUUUUGAUACAUAGCAGCUGAUAUCUCAAUCUCCACAUCAGCUGAUAAAUCUGCUUGACACACAGCAGCUAGCUAGGAUCGAUCCUACUUUCCUGGUCACACUACUUGAAAGUUCCUAUUCUUUAGGGGAAGUAGCUAGUGAAACUUAGAUCCUGGAUAGGUAACCCCAAAAAGAAAAGAAGUGCAACAUGACCUAAUUGAAGAUAUAACAAGCUACUAGCUAUUCAUCUAGAGAUAUCAAUUUUUUUUACAAUGUUGGAAGAACAGCUAACAGAAGUCCAUGAUGCUAAAGGAACAAGCUUCCUCAAAACUUGCUUCAACAUGAUCAAUGGCCUGACAGGUUCUUAUUUUGAUUAUUCCUCCAUUUCUGUUUGAUUAAUUUCUCGCUUGUAAUAUAUGCUUAAGAUUAUCCAAUUUGAAUUCUAGGACUCGGGCUCAUUACAACCCCUUACGCAGUUUCGAGGACUGGUUGGUCAAGCCUUCCUUUUCUUAUAGUUAUUGGAAUGAUAAGUUGCUAUGCUGGGAUCUUGCUCACCAGAUGCUUGGACACCGAUGCAUCAAUGAAGACCUAUCCUGAUGUUGGUUUCCAUGCAUUCGGGUCUAAAGGCAGAAUAUUCGUGUCCAUUUUCCAGUAUCUAGAGCUUUACCUAAUCCCAAUAGGAUUCCUGAUAAUGGAAGCUGAUAAUUUAGAAAGGUUUUUCCCACAAGCUGGGAUCAAUCUAGGUGGACAUCACAUAGGGGGAAAACCAUUUUUUACAAUGGUUGUGGGGAUCAUUAUAUUACCUACAAUGUGGUUGAAACACCUACGGUUUCUUGCCUACGUCUCAAUGUGGGGAUUUGUAUCUGCCAUUACCAUUGUCGUGUCGAUUGUUUGUGUUGGUGUCGAUGGAGUAGGGUUCUCUAAAAGAGGGAAGAUGUUUGAUCCGACUGGACUUCCUACCUCUCUUAGUUUGUUUGCAUUUUGCUAUGGAGUUCAUUGCGUCACUCCCUCCGUAUACUCCUCUAUGAGACAUAAAAACCAAUUCUACAAGGUAUGCAACUUCUACCAAAUUACCUUUUGUUACCAGUUAGUUUGAGUUUGACUGUUUGAGUACUCAAUUCCUGAUUUAUAACCGUUGCGUGUGCAGAUUCUGUUCAUCAUUUUUUCCAUCUGCACUAUGAACUACAUAGUUCUAGCUGUUCUUGGCUACUUAAUGUUUGGUGAUGAUGCUCAACCUCAAGUGAUAAUGAACCUGCCUACAGGUAAAAUAAUAUCAAAAGUAGCAAUAUACACCACUCUAGCGAUCCCAAUCAUCAAGUUUGCACUCAUAAUGACACCUAUAACAAAUGCCAUUGAAAACAGCUUGCCGAAAGAUUGGAAUAACAUGUUCAUUUUCAUGUUCAUCAGAACACUGCUAUUAGUGAGCACAGUGGUAUUGGCCAUAGCUUUUCCAUAUUUUGACACACUGUUGGCACUAGUUGGAGCCAUUCUUUGUGUCACUAUGUCCAUGUUGGUUCCAUGUAUAUGUUACCUGAAGAUAUUCAGACUAUACCGGAAGUGUACCGUGGAAGUUGCAAUAAUUGGAUGUAUUAUGGUUAUCAGUGUGACUAUGGGUGGACUAGGUACAUACACAUCUAUCAAAGAGAGAUUUUCAUGAAGAAUCAUGUUGUCCACCAGUGUUCCUUUUAUCCUUUAGUAUGCUGUAAUGAGUGUAAUCUGUGUAAAUAUAACGGCGUGUUGUUAACUAUGUGAUCAUACACAUAGUAUACCGUCAUGCCUAUGCCUAUGGCUUACCCACAAAUUUGCUCCACUCAAGCAGAGCAAUGUUCUGCUCUAACUGAACAUUUGCCCCAGUUUCUGCAGAAAAAUCUGCCCUCACUGCUGUGUACACAAAGAGGGUUCCCUAUAUAUUUUUGAAAGUUUAACAUGACUAAACUAAACUUCAGAGAUUCUUUUAAAAGGUUACUUGUAUAGGGGAAAAGGUCAGAAAAGAGUUAUAUUUCAGACACUCAGUUAAAACAGAUGUUCACCAAUGUGAUACAGCUUCCAAACAAAAGGAACCAAAUUGAGACAAGUGCAACAACAGGAAGAGGGGUUUUCAGCCAUUCUUCUUUAACUACGCAUAAGCAGAAUAUAAGUUGUUCAAGACAUCUGAGAAGAAACCUCAUUCAGCAAUCAUCAUUCUGGAUUGAGAACUACUGCAUAAGCAUUUUUGAUUUCAUAUGAAGUUUCAACCAAAAGGCUGAAAGAAUUUCUUUGCUACAGAUGAGAUGAGUGUCUUAAUCGCCACACUACUUGGACCUCACACUAACUGAAACUUCCUCAAUGAGUUCGUAAUGUUGCUAAAAUAACCCUCGGGAUCAUAGCUUUUGCUACAGAUUAUGUUAGCACAGACUUGUUACCCACUAGUGGGUGAACAAGAGUUGUAAUGUUACAAUUCUCAGAGAUUCAGUUGAUUUACAACAACACAUAUAUACAAAACUGGUGCAUGUGUCUGUUGCAGCAUUAUCUUCAUCCGCGAGUCAAGUCAAUACCAGUGUGAGCAUUUCUUGCAUCAACUAGCCGCCCACCAGGCCAUAUACCUGCUGUGGAUGGAGCAUAAUUUUGAGUAGAUGGAGCUGUUGUCGGUGAAGGUAGUUUCUCACUGUGCUGAGGCUCAGAACUCUCCCCAUUAUUGGGGCCAGGCAGCGGCUUGCUCUUGAUCUUGUUGGAGCUACCAUAUACAAAACUGCAAAGCACAACCUGUGAAAAACAUGGAUUAGACCCUCUGCACUAUCACCAGAUGCACCUCCACAUACCAUUAGAAUUCAAGAUUUCCUAGUCGACUGUUUUUCAAUCAUAUAAGUUAUCAACCAAACAUACCCAUUUUACACACAUCACAUUUCACAUCACAUGUACUUGCCAGUAUGUGUACAAAACUUAUCAUCAGCUCUAAAACUAGACAAUGAACAAGCUACCUGCACUGGAGAGGCUGCAAUAAGCAUAGCCACAGCACCACCAAUGACAUGACCAUCAGAACUAGAAAGGGAAACACUUAUGCCCCCUGUUCGAUCGCGCGGGCCACCAUCCUCCGCAACCAAGUAAGAACCUGACAAGCAUAAUAUCUGGAAACGACCCUGCAAAUCCAUUUCUACAGUUGAGUCUUUGGAAAAAUUUAGACUACGAAGAAUUGUCACUAUCAAGCUGUUAAAUAAACAGGCAACAGCCCUCAAUGAUUUUUAUUUUUGUUUGACCACCACAGACAAACAACCAAGUAUUUCCCUGAACAAAUAGUACAGCAAUGCAAUCAAAUCUUAUUACAACAACAGGUACUACCAGCACUAGCACUUGAUUCAAAAACUUCACAACUUUUGACAACAUAUGAUUUGUUCUGCUCCAAUUGUAUGCCUAGAUUUGUUUGCUCACGCUUCAAUUGAUCCAAACCAGUCAUUCUACAUGGUUUUCUCAUUAUCACAUAUAUUACUGGUCUUCUCUACCAGAAAAACAUAUGUUCAGAGCACAUUACACUACUCUCUGGUGCUGACACCUCUUGAACCAGUCUUUGCACUAUCUAUUCCAAGCAUGGAAGUACAGCCCUCACAAAGAUGGUAAUUGCAAUCUUUGACUAAAGUGGCCUACGUACAAUAUAAUAUUCCAAGCGCCCACCCAAUAAAUCACUCCAAACCCAUCAUAACUUAAAACCCAAACCUCAGGCAACUCUAGAGUUACUUUUCCUUUCAUUUUCUAAACAUGGAUAGAUUCCCUGCCUAAUACCCUUCCUUUUUGUCUCUUUGCAAUAGUAUGUAUGAUUAGUUCUGAUUCUAGUGGUGGCCCUUUUCAAUGUGUAUAACACUGCUCUUCUUGCAGUAUAUAUAUGGUACAUGGUUAUUUUUCUACUGAUCUUGUAAAACUAAACAAAUGUUCAAAUUAUGAAGACAAACCAAUUUCAAAUGUGCUAAACUGUAACCAGCCACAGACUUGACACAACCAGCCUCGACAGCUCUUUGCAACCACAUAAGAUGCAAUGUUACACAGACUAAACUACGGUACCAACAACAAAUGCUUUGCAAAGACAAAGAAGAAAAUACAGCUUUAUAUGCUAAUUUUGGAAUGGAAAUUCUCGAAAUCUUCAAAGUCUAACAAAGAAGGAAAGGCAAGUAAGAUGGAGUUAAGACAGAGUUGAGUGCUUCAACCUCAUAUGUGACACUGACACCAGUUGAUGCAGGCUGACGCAGUGCUACUGAAGAUACUGUUCCAUUUCCUGACAAGACACACAGUGCCCUAGGCCUCUGUUGUGAAAAUAACAACAAUUUUGCUACAAUGUCCUACAAAAAAAAGAACAAGAAUUACUUUUAUUAAGAGCACAAGAACAAAUGUUGCUACUAAGUCUAUUAACAUCGAAAAAUCAGUCAAAACUAUUCAACAAAAGGACUCUAUAAAGAGCUGCUGACAUACACAUGUAAAUAAGCAGGAUGCUGAAAUUUGUGUACUUGCAUAUAAAUUGGUCUAAUGUGUGUUUUAACUUUCUGCAGGCAUUUAGACUGACAAGUCCUUGCACAAUUCCCAUUUAUAUGGAGGUUCAAAUGCUAAGGUCUUGUUUUAGUUUUAUAGACCAACCCUGGACUUAUAACAAUAUCUAUGGAGGUUUGAAUAUAACUGGUCAGGCAUCAUACAGAAUUUUAACAGCAGCAUUCCCGUUUACCGAAGAUAUUCUGAUCCAGAAAUUCCCCAAAAAUGUUGUAAGAACUAAGAACUAUAUGGACUACAACUUCUAGUUAGUUAUGUCAGGUAAAAAAAUCAGGGCUGGUAAAGCAUGAUCAUUGAAAAUGUUCGGCUACCAAUCUGUUUUCACUUCCUUAGGCAUCAGAAAACAACAACAAAACAAUGCCACCUCUUAUGUCUUGAACUAUCAAAUGCAAAAUAGCGGAGCAGUUCAUUCUUGAGCAGAACAUCACAUUUGUGCACCUUAUUUUAGGGGAUAGAAUUAGGCAUCUUUGUAAUAUUUAAACUAACAGGCAAACCUCUCCAGCUUCGAUGGUGAUAACAUGGGGUGCAAAAGCCUGUCCAGCCGAACUGUUCAUCCAUUCCCCUACAAAAACAGUUCAACAUACAAACUACUAAGUACAUGCAAAAACAAACAGGGAUAAAGACGUUGUUCCAUAACCAAAAAGUAAAUGAUUGAGCUUGAGGAUCUUCAAAUAACUAAUACAGAUAACUUGACAGAAGAGAAGUUAAAAAAAAAAAGUGUCACAGACUACACAAAUUCCAAGAUCUAAGCCAUGACUUCGUUUCUGCAUGGAAUGCAGUUCACAGCUUAUGUAUAUUUGGUAAUGUUUCAGCUAAUACAAUUGAUGUCAUUUAGCAAAAGGAGAACAGUUGAUUAACAGAAGUGCAUGAAUUAACCACCAAUUAUAGAAGCCAUAAUUGAAUAAGAUUUAUAAGAAACUAAUCAAUGCUAACAAGCCCUUGGUCCCCCGCUAGCUAUCCCACUAAAUCUAGUAAACUAAAACAAAAGCCACCACCAUAAAAUCAAGUUGUACACAAAAAUGGAAUUAGAUGUUGCACAGAACUUUACCAAGAUUAGCCAACUGUUGUUUCCUGCCGGUCCCAGGUGGCCUUCCCCUGUUUCUUUUCGGGGUCGGUGAGGUUGAUCCUGGAGUAGGAUUAGGAGUUGAAGACAAUGGAGACAAUGCCAGCGAAACCGGGGCAUCAGGACCCUGACCCUGACCGGAACCAAGACCAGGCCCAUAUUUCCGGGGCCUCCCUCGUUUCUUCUUCACAGGCUCACUCGAAGGAGCUCCAGGAGAACCACUCAUGCUAAUGCCAUGAGGAUAAUUGGGUCUAGAAGGCUCUGCUGAGAAUGUUGAUCCCACAGAGGUGGCUCUCACAUUAGACUGAGCUUGCUGAAAGGUAGCGUUGUUGUUGGGUCUGAACCCAGGUGGUGCAUGCAACCCAGCAAUCUGUGAUCCAGGUGAAGACCCACCAUGGCCUCCCCUAUGGAUGUAGUAGGAAGCUUGAGCACCAGAGAUGGCCAUGGCUUCUCUCCCAUCCAUGCAUUUACCAAGAAAGCUUAAACCUUUAAAGCUUCUCCCCAAUUUUGGAAAUCUCAAAAUCAAAAAGAGGGGGUAAAGAUCAGAACUUUAGCCCCAAAUCUUCAAGAUAGAGUAACCCAGUGAGCUCCUAGAACUGGGAUUCUAGAAGGGUUUUGCUUCAAGUUGAGAAGAAUCUAAAAACCCAAGUAAAAAUUUGAUCUUUAGCAAGAAAACAAGAGAAACAAAGUGAAGUCAGAGCUGGAACAGAGGCACCCACAGAGACCCAGAAGAGGAAAAGUAAAAUGCAGAAGAAUCAGAAGCUGAGGUAGUAACAGGGGAGCUAGGAUUGAAAGGUAGCAGGUGUGAAAUAAGAACAAAACCCUAGAUUUGAAAUCUAGGGUUUUGACAGGAAAUGCAGAGAGGAAGGUGGAAAAGGGGAAAGGGAGGGGAGGAAAGGACAAGGGAGGAGAGGAGAGGAGAGGAGAGAAGUAGAGGAAGAGGGGUUGGGGAGGAAAAAUGAAUUGAAAAUUUGAGCUUUUGAAUUAAAGGGAAGGGUGAGAGAGUGUGAACUAGUAAUGUAAGAGAGAGAGAGUAGAGACCUUUUCUCUUUCUUUAUUGUAAUUUUAAGUGAGAGGUGGGGUGGCUGUAAGUAUCUGACCAUAUUGAAAGGAAAGGACUAAUACAAUGGGAAAGACAGUCUGUGACCCACCAAAGUACCAAACUUACAUGUCCUUAUCACACUGCCCUUUCCUGGGGCAUAGAGCCCCUCUCAUCUCUCUAUCUCUCUCCUCCCCCUCUCUGGUUUUCUCUUCUUUCUUCUUUGUUUUCUUCUCCUAAAUUGACCUAGACUUGCAAAUAUGAGAUAGUAGUUUGCAGUGCACUGGUGCUAUGUACUUGCUACAGAUCACUAAAGAAUUUUAGUGUAAAUUUGUAUUAGAGGAUGAUACUUAUAAAAAUUUGUUGUUUAGUGAUAUUGUAGUCAAAAAAUUAGAUUGCUGACAAAUAACGGUCGGUUUUAUAUCAACUAAAACGCGUAAAUUAUUUAUUGAAAGUUUGUUACAUUAUUGUAUAAAAGUCGAAUUUGAUUGUAUCAUGAUUUUGUUUAUCAUUUUCGGCACAUUCAUUUAGCAGAUCCUGAUAAUAUGGAUUACUAUUCAUAAAACAAACUUCAUGAUAAAAUUCAACAUAAGUAUUUGCUAAAUCUAAUGGGGACCAUUAUUGAAUUAGGGUGCUUCAAAUGCUGAGUUUCUUUUGUCCAGAAAGAAUUAUAAUGUGUGUGGUAGGAGCCAAAAACAAAUAUGCUGUUCUUUUUGGGCUGGUCUAGAAGGACAAACCAAUCUGGAAAAUGAUUAACUAAAGAAAUUGAAGAAGCAUCAAGCAUAUUGAAGCUGGAAAACUUUGUUUAUUUCAUAACGCAUUAUAUACUGGUUUCUCUUGUCUGUAUUACAGAUUAUACACUUUAAAAUUUCUUGGAAAAUGAUAUGAACUUAUGAAGUCACAAAUUGCUCCAGAUGGGGAAAAGGACAUGGAGCUGAAUGGUGUAAAAGAGGUCGUUUUUCUUCUUCUGAUUCUGAUGUGAAUGUGAUCGCCUUUGGUGGGUAGUUGUAUGAAUGAGCUGCCUGCUGCAGGCUGCUCAGUUUUGCUGUGCUUAUUAAACUGCUCUGAGACAAAGCCUAUUAGCUCAGUCAUGGACUUUCAACCUUAUAAACAAAUCAAUCAGUGAGUGAUUAGCGUGGUCAGUCAACAAAGUGCAUGAUUUUGUUGAAUUAGUUGGUACAAUCAGAAAGAGAAAGAUAUGUUUUCAAAAGCUAAACCCCACAUGACAUUCACCUUUCAAUAGUCACUACCAACUUGUUAAACUUAAUGUUUUGCAUCAUCUUUAGAUUAAUGUUGGUUCAUUUCAUUAACAAGCUACACUUUUUUUCGUGUAAUUUGAAGAACAUCUACUGAAUUUAGAAAAAUGAUCGAUCAAAAACUAGUAAAUUUGAAAUAAUGAAAAAGGGGAAUCCUUUAUGGGCCAUACUGUAUGUGCUUUUGCUUCUUCAGUGGUAUUUAUAGCUAAGAACCCUUGAUCAUUGAGUGCCAAGAACACUUCGAUGUUUGGUUUUAACCUGCAAAACCUUUUGGCCACUUCUCAGCUAUUCCAAGCACCAUCAAUUAGCUUAGAAGUGGCUAAACCAUAGAACGAGGGUAUGGUGCCUUGUCCCCUAAACAACAAACGUUUCAGGGAUCAUAUUUCCACCACAAUUUAGUAAGCUAGAAAUCAAAACACAAGUCGCAAUAAACUUGAGAGAAUGAAUUAGACUAAAACAUCUUCACGGAAACUCCAAUGAAUAACAGUUAAAAAACCGAAACAGAACAGUUUAGUUUCUUAUGCAAGUGCACAUAUCAUGAUCUAUACCCAAAAAGAGGAUCUAUGUGAACUAUUGUCAAACAAAUUCAACUUCACAAGUUUUUGAAUUCCACUUUGUUCUGAUCAUAAGGUGGCAUGGCAACAAGAGCCUGUAACUUCAUCUCUUCGUUGUCGCAAAAGCUGUGUAUAAUCAGUCACCUUUCCAUGCUUCACUAAGGAGUCUCAUAUGUUCCCACAACAAGGAUCUAGGUAAAAGUCUGGAAAUCAAUUUCACAAGUCCUUGAACCCCUAGGGAACUUUGAAACUUCCAAGCAUAAGGUGGCAAUAGGAGGCAAUAACUUUUUCUCUUUUUCAUCACAAAAGCGAGUACAAAUAGUCACCUUAUUCAAAGCCUUGCCGUGCUUCACCAAGUACUUUGCCAUUUCCAUCUCCUUUGGACACCCCUUGAGCUCCCGUAGGCAUAUAGUCUUGAGGUGUGAAAACAAACAAACAGGCACCAACUCUGGUGCAUCCCAUCCGUGAACAAACUCGUCCUCAUUGUCAUCAGCACAAAACUUGGUGUUCUAAAUACGUUUAAAGUAUGUCAGUGAAUCUUAAAGCUUUUGAAAUUGUAUAUACCAAUAAAAUUUGGCAUAGAGAUCAUUCCAGAUAUACCUACAUUUUCAAACUCAAGAUGUUCCAAAUUCGGUGAUAGGUUGAGCAAAGUUGGAAGUGACUGCAAACAGUAACAUGUUUGAACUUGUAGCUCCAAGUGCUUCAAAUCAUUUAAAGUAGACAGAAGAUGAUGAUCUCUAAUGUCAAGAACCUACAGAAAUGAUGAAGUAAGUUAGCAUUCUAUCAAGAAAGGAUGAAUUAGAGAUUUCAAUGUCAUCAUAAAGCAUUCCAUUGAGAAAUUGCAGCACAGAAUUAAAUAGAGCAUACUAACCCCCAAGAUUGCAGCUGAAACUGACAGAUAUUUAACAUUAACAAUUCCUGCAACGAGCCUGCGCACACGACCAGCAAGGCCAAGGAAACAAUGAAGGUUGUGAAGCUCAUCCACAUCUAAGAAAUCUAUCUUGGCUUUCCUCAGAUAUUUGGCAUCCUUCACAGAAUAGCUCACCAGCAAGUCAUAGUAGAUAUCCAACUCUUCAAGAUUUGGAGCAUCAGCACUAACAAAUAUUCGGCAAUCAUAACUCACAACAUUACUAGAUCUUGUAUCAAACUUAUGCACAAUGAAGCUAAUCUGCAGCCUUUUCAGCUUAGGUCCAGAGAUAUUUAUAUUAUAAGCCGACACAUCGUCAAGUUGUCCAUCUAAAAUCAAAUGUUCAAGUGCAGGGCAGCAAGAAAAGAGCUUCUCCAUCGAGCCCGAAUCAGGACACCAAACUGUAACAUGGAGGAACUUAAGACAAGGAAAGCAUGUUGCGCCGGGAGUUACAGCACUAACAUCUUGAGACAGCAACAGCUUCAAACUCACCAAUGUGUUACACAAGAAAAGGCUUCUCGGAAUCUCAAAAUGUGGCUCUGUAGGUGUCUCCACACAAAGAUCAAGUUCCACAACAUUCUGCUUUACAGCAGUGGAAAUCCAAUCAUAAAUAAGAGAAGCAUCAGACGUCAUAGUAGUCUUGAGAUGGAAUCUAUGAAUGUUUAUGGGGCUACGUAACGAAAGUAGACCAUUCACAAACUGUGCAAAACUACUUGCCACAUAUCUUAGUGGGGAUGGUAAAGUACGAUUAACAUAAUCCAUGUGAUACUUUUGUUCAUCCAAAUCAAGAAUGGGAACAGAAGACCACACAUUCUUCCAUCUGUGAGAUAAAACACUGGUCUGCACAGCCUCUCUGGUUGUACACAAGGAAAGUAUAUGGCAAAGAAUAGCAUCUGGCAACCCACUAAUCCUAUCUUCAAUUCUUAAUUUUUGAAGCUUUGAUCUUAAAGACAUUUUUCACCAUGUGAAACCACUCUGUAACAUAAAAUGUGGCCUCUGGUGAAAACCCAAUUACAACAAUGUAACUACAAUGGUUUAACUUAAGAAGCAUAUUGGUAAGAAAUAGUUUCAAGAUUCUAAUUUUCUUGCAAAGUACUGGACUUUCUUGUUAGUUAAAGUAAAGAAGAGGACCAACGUAAGAGUAAAGAGUAUAAAAGAUUUCGAACAAGGUACCUGAAUGAUUAUGACAAGUGGAGCUAAUUGGGCAGUUCUGGUUUCAGUGCACUAAAAUGGUCUGCGGAGUUUGGUUGCUGAGGAACACAGAAAGGACCGAGGAAGGGAGUAGACGACAUGUCGCUCAUCUGUUCCUCAUGGCAUCUUCAAAGAACUUGUCUUUUGUCUGUUUUAUCCAUGAAGCAUGUCCAAAUUUCAACAAUGAGCUCUUAAUGACAUUUUGAUGAAAUUGUUUAUUUCUUAGUUGACAAACUUGAGAACGGUGUUAUCUGUGGUUAUUGUAGGACUUGUAUGUUCUGUAAAGAAAACAAACUUUGAUCCAAGUCAGCAAAAAGAAUACAUACACGGACACUGGGAAACUUGAUAGUUAGCAAACAAGAAGACAGAAAUUAAAACACUUGCAUAGUUACAUGCACAAGAGUGCAUACAAGGUUAUCUUCCCAAAAGAACAAUCUGUAUCAAAUGAUUGUCUGAAAUUGAAUUUUACAAGUCUUGGAACCCCUGGGGAACUUUGAAAAUUUCGACCACAAGGCAAUAGGAGACUGUAUCUCGAUCUCUUUGUCUUGACAGAAGUGAUUAGAAAUAGUCACCUUAUUCAACGCCUUGCCAUGCUUCACCAAGUACAUUGCAACUUCCAUGUCAUCUGGACACCCCUGAAAAUCCCAUAGGCAAAUAGUCUUGAGGUGUGAAAUCAAACAAACAGGCACAGACUCUGGUUCGUCCCAUCCAGGUUCAAGCUCACCCUCAUCGACAUUGGCAUACAUCUGUUUCCUAUUCCGUGAUAUCUUCAGAUGCACCAAAUGUGGAGAUAUUUUGAGCACAGUUGCCAGUGAUUGCAGACUUCGACAAGUAUGAAGCUGUAGUUCCAAGUAGUUCAAAUUAUUAAACAUAGGCAGAAGAUGUUGAUGUCCAACGUCAAGGGCCUAUAGAUAUGAUGAAGUAAAUAGGUCAGUCAACAAUAGCAAAACCAAACAGUUCCUUGUCAUCAUCAGGUCACAUUCAUUUGAGAAAUUCCAGCACAUAGACAAAAAGGGUGUCAAACACUGCAUGAACAAGUAGCAUACUUACCGUCAGAAGUGGAGUAUUAACUGUCAGGUACUUAGCAUCACAAAUUCCAGCGAAAAUCUGACGUAUGCGAUCAGCUAGGCCAAGGAAACGAUCAUGCUUCUUAAGCUCUUGCACACAAAAGAAUCCUAUAUUCGCUUUGUGUAGACAUUUGGCGUUCUUCAAAGAAAAGCUCACCAGAGCAUCAAAGCAGAUAUCUAUCUCUUCAAGAUUUGGAGCAUCAACAUUAACGAAAAUUUGGCAUACAAAGUCAUUAGCAGCAAAAUUCAUACCAUACUUACGGACAUUUAGCUCAAUUUGUAGUCUCUUCAGUUUGGGUGCAGAUAUGUCAAGAUUGAAAGCUGUUGUGUAUAUAAGCUCUCCAUCUAUAAUCAGCUCUUCAAGCACAGGUAAACGAGAAAAGAGCUUCUCCAUUGAGUCAGAAUCAGGACAACGAACUGUAACAUGAAGGAACUUGAGGCUCGGGAAACAAUUUGAACUAGUAGGAGUCAUGACCCUAAUAUUUUCAUGCAGCCACAACUUGAAAUGGACCAAUGUGCUGCACAUGAAAAGGCUUUUGGGGAUCUCAAAACAUGGGUCUGAAAGUGUGCUGACAGUAAGAUCAAGCUCCACAACAUUACGCCUAAUGGCAGUGGAAAUCCAAGCAUAAACAAGAGAAACAUCAUCCAUCCCCUUAGUGAAAAGACGGAACCUAUGAAUGUCUCCCGAGCAACGAAACAAAAGCACACGAGUCACAAACUGUGCAAACCAAUCCGGGUUAUCUUCGGGAUAUAUAUGCGUAUCAUGUUCUUCCUCAUCUAAAUCUAGAACGGGAACAGAAGCCCACACAUUCUUCCAUCUAUGAGACAAAACACUGGUCUGUACAGCCUCUCUGGUGAAAAGGAAGGAGAGAAUGUGGCAAAGAACUGCAUCUGGCAUCCCACUGAUCCUAUCUUCAGUUCUUCCUUUGUGAUGCACUAAACUUGAAGCCAUUUAUGAUGUGAACUUCUCUGGCAAAAACCCAAAUACAACAAUGUGAAUUCUGUGGCAUAAACUGAGAAAAGUUAUGAUCUUUGGAUGAUCACCCCCACCAUCAAACUGGAGACAUUGAUUUUCACUCCUAGGAAACAAUUUAACACGAAUUCCUCAGAAAAUCUAUCACCAUUGUAAAGAACAUAACUUUCUUCUUAGAAUUUGUAUUUCUUUGUCAGAAUUUUUCUAAAAGUUGAUUACUUUAACACAAACUCAUAAGAAUUAAAGUUCAUGAAUCCUAGAUGUACAAACGAGUAAAGAACUCAGAAACAUAGAGCAAGUACCUGAAGUAGUGGACCCAGUUCUCGCUUCAGUGCUCUGAACUGGUUUGCCGUGUUUGGUUGCUCAGAAACAAAGACAUACAAAGCAACAACAACAAACUUCAGUUGUUUGUGAUAACUGACUCUUGAGAUUAUGAUUCCUCGUUCUGCUUAUUACUCGGGUCUUUUUUAUGGUUUUAAGUGGUGGACCCGUAGCCCGUAGAAGCCCAUUACGGCCCAGAUCGACAUUGCCAAUAACAAGCUAUGUUCAUAAUCUCAAUCCAUCUAGGUUCCUGCUGCAAGGGUUUGUGGUGUGAUUUUUCGAGGUUGCAUAUAUGAUCGAUUUUCUCAUACUCAGUAUUCUCCUCUCUUUUAGUUCUUGUUCCUAACGAAAAACAGAGGACUAACAAAAGAGUUAAGGUAGAAAAGAUUUCGAAAACAGAAGUACCUGAAUGGUUAUGACGUAUGAGAAGUGGAGCUAAUUGGUUAAAUAAGUAGGAGCAGCCAGGGCUGAGACGGACAGAAGAAAAUAAACCACAAAAGGAAAUAGAAGAUAGCAAUACUUAAAAAUAGACAUGCACAUAAAUAAACUCAUGUUCCAUCCCAGAGAAACAUCCAUUGAAAAUGAUCGUCUUUAACCCCUUGGGAACUGACAAGUUAGAAAUCAGGAAGACCGAAAUUAAAACACUUGACAAUCUGUAUCAAAUGAUUGUCUGAAAUUCAAUCUCACAUGUCUUGGAACCCCUUGGAAACUUUGAAACAUUCGACCAUAAGGCAGUAGCAGACUGUGACUUCAUCUCUUUGUUUUCACAAAAGGGAGUAUGAAUAGUCACCCUAUUCAAAGCCUUGCCAUGCUGCACCAAGUACUUGGCGACUUCCAUGUCAUCUGGACACCCCUUGAAAUCCCAUAGGCAAAUAGUCUUGAGGUGUGAAAUCAAACAAACAGGCACCGUCUCUGGUGCAUCCCAUUCCGGUUCAACCUCAUCCUCAUCGACAUCAUCAGAAUAGUUAUUCUCCUAGAAAUGAGUUAAAAUGAAAUCUUUCUAAAUUACACAGGUAUCAUGUAAGGGUAGUUCCGGAUAUACUUACAUUGGCAUACAUAUGUUUCCUUUUCAGUAAUAUCUUCAGUUGCUCCAAAUGUGGUGAUAUCUUGAGCACAGUUGCCAGCGAUUGCAAACAUCGACAAGUAUGAAGCUGUAGCUCCAAGUAGUUCAAAUUAUUAAACGUAGGCAGAAGAUAUUGAUGUCCAAUGUCAAGGGCCUAUAGAUAUGAUGAACUAAACAGGUCAGUCAACAAAUAGCAAAACUAAACACAUCCUUGUCAUAACGUUGAUGUAGAUUCAUAUAGUUAACAUUCUAUGGGAAGUUCCAGCACAUGGAGGAAAAAAGCUAUUAACCACCACAAGAAAAGUAGCAUACUUACCGCCAACAAUGGAGCUUUUACUGUCAGGUACUUAGCAUCAUAGAUUCCUGCAAAAAUCUGAUGUAUGCGAUCAGCAAGGCCAAGGAAAUAAUCAUGCUUUUUCAGCUCUUCCACAUAAAAGAAAUCUAUCUUGGCUUUGCGUAGACAUUUGGCAUUCUUCAAAGAAAAGCUCACCAGAGGAUCAAAGCAGAUAUCUAACUCUUCAAGAUUUGGAGCAUCAACAUUAACGAAAAUUUGGCACACAUAAUUUACAAAGUUAGCAAAAUGCAUAUCAUGCUUAAAGACUCUGAGCUCAGUUUGUAGUCUCUUUAGUUUGGGUGCAGAUAUAUCAAGAUUGGAAGUUGUUGACUCUACAAAGUUUCCAUCUAUAAUCAGCUCUUCAAGCACAGGUAAACGAGAAAAGAGCUUCUCCAUUGAGUCAGAAUCAGGAAAAUGAACUGUAACAUGAAGGAACUUGAGGCUCGGGAAACAAUUUGAACUAGUAGGAAUCAUGACCCUAAUACCUCUAUGCAGCCACAACUUGAAACGGACCAAUGUGCUACACAUGAAAAGGCUUUUGGGGAUCUCAAAAGGUGGCACUGUACUUCUUUGGACAGUAAGAUCAAACUCCACAACAUUACGCCUAAUGGCAGUGGAAAUCCAAGCAUAGAUAAGAGAAACAUCAUCCAUACCAUUAGUGGAAAGACGGAACCUAUGAAUGUCUCCCGAGCAACGAAACAUAAGCACACGAUUCACAAACUGUGCAAAACAAUCCUCCGGGUUAUAUAAUGGCUGAUUCAUAUCCGCAUCAUAUUCUUCCUCAUCUAAAUCUAGAACAGGAACAGAAGCCCAGACAUUCUUCCAUCUAUGAGAUAAAACACUGGUCUUUACAGCCUCUGUGGUGAAAAGGGAGGAGAGAAUGUGGCAAAGAACUGCAUCUGGCAUCCCACUGAUCCUAUCUUCAAUUCUUACUUUGUGAUGCAUUAAAUUUGAAGCCAUCAAUGUGAAUUCUGUGGCUUAACUUGUAAAAAGUUAUGAUCUUUGGAUGACUAUCCUCACCAUCAAACUGGAGACAUUAAUUUUCACUCCUAUGAAACAAUUCAACACAAAUUCCUCAGGAAAUCUAUCACCAUAUUGUAAAGGGCAUAACUUUCUUCUCAGAAUUUGUAUCUUUGUCAGAAUAUUUCUAAAAGUUUAUUACUUUAACACAAACUCAUAAGAAUUAAAGUUCAUGAAUCCUAGAUAUACAAACGAGUAAAGAACUCAGAAACAAAGAGCAAGUACCUGAAAUAGUGGACCCAUUUCUCGCUUCAGUGAUCUGAAGUCUGAACCGGUUUACCGUAUUUGGUUGCUUAGAAACGAAGAAAUACAAAGGACGAAGGUGUGUGAUAACUGAGACUGAGGUUAUGGAGAAUCGUUUCAAAAAAUAAAAAUAAAAAAAGGUAAGGAGAAUUGGGCUAGGCGGAGACUUAGGCUGGCUAGGCGGAACCUAGUUGGACUGUGCCUGCGCCAGUUGGUUGGUCCACUUUAAAGGGGGAAAAAAACAAACUGAGGGACUAUCUCUUCCUGUGAGAAAGCAAUGUCAUUGCUUACAAUUUGCAUUCUUUAUAGGAUAGCUCACCAAGAAAUCGAACCUCAUCAGUUCAUAAUUUACAGAACUAUUAGCAGCACAUCUGAUUUUGAUGCAGAGAUUUCUCUAAGCAGAAUCGUUCCGACGUCCCCAAGCUUUCCUUCCUAUCUAUAAUAGUGCACGUUUGCAUUACACCUCAAUUUUCAACACUGUACUAGACUCAUGUAGACUGCCUUAAUUUAUACUAAUACUGAGCCAUGUUUAGUGGUGCACUGGACUAAUUUUCAACUUCAUGAUAAUUUCUUGUAUCAAUCUCUUCAUGCUUCCUAUUUAUCAACCAGGAAAUAAUCGUUGUAAUUCGCAGAAAACCAAGAGCCUUGAGAGAUAAAGAAAUUGAUGAGGAGGAGGAAGAUCAGAAGAGCUGAAAUCAAUCUUAUCUUGGGAGAGCAAGUGAGAGAGGAAGGAGGAGAGAGAUGGUGUUGGCAAGGGGUGUCAGAAUGGAGUACCCACGCUAAGACCCCUAAGGAGGACAAAUGAAAACACAGGUCCAACUUAAGCCCAUUUAUUUUAGUACCUAUUGACACCAAACAAAGGAUUAGCCAACUUGGACUCCUUAUUUAACACAGUCCUAGUUAGUACUAGGAAACAAACAUGCACAGAGUCCUCAAGUACAUGAAACAACUGUGAUCCAAGUGAAAACAGUCCCAGACUUUCAUCUGAAGCUGAGCAAACAUAUUAAGUCACACAUUACGCAAAGCAACUAUGGAAACUCCUCAGAGAUUACGUCGUAAAAUACCAUCACUUAAUAAGUAGGUGCAGCAGGGCUGAGAUGGAUGGAACAAAAAAAACCAUAAAAGAAAAAAAAGAAGACAGCAAUACUCAAAAACAGACGUACACAUAAAUAAACUCACGUUCCAUUCCCAGAGAAAUAUCCAUUGAAAANNNNNNNNNNNNNNNNNNNNAAAAAANAAAAAAAAAAAAAAAAACCCGGGGAAACUCGGGAAGUUAGAGAUCAAAAAGGCAGAAAUGAAAACACUUGCUUAGUUAAAUGUACAAAAGUGCAUAUGAGGUUAUAUUCCCAAAGAAGAAUCAAACCAUUGUCUCAAACUGAAUCUUACAAGUCUCGGAACCCCUGGGGAAGUUUGAAAAUUUUGACCAUAAGGCAAUAGUAGACCGUAGCUCCAUCUCUUCGUUACUGAAGUGAUUAUAAAUAGUCACCUUAUUCAAAGCCUUGCCAUGCUUCACCAAGUACAUUGCAACUUCCAUGUCAUCUGGACACCCCUGAAAAUCCCAUAGGCAAAUAGUCUUGAGGUGUGAAAUCAAACAAACAGGCACAGACUCUGGUGCAUCCCAUCCGUGUUCAAGCUCGACAUCAUCACAGUAGCUUUUCUGCUAGAUAUGAUUUGAAAUAAGUGAGUAUAUUGAAACCUUUCUAAAUUAUACCGGUAUCAUUUGGCAAAAGGGUAGUUCCAGAUAUACUUACAUUUCCAUAAAAAAUUUCCGUAAAGGCUGAUAUCUUGAGAUGUUCCAAAUUUGGUGAUAUCUUGAGCAGAGUUGUCAGUGAUUGCAAAUAGCGACAAGUUUGAAGUUGUAGCUCCAAGUGGUUCAAAUUACCAAAUGUCAGCAGAAGACUGUGAUAUCUAAUGUCAACAGCCUACAGAUAUGAUAAAGUAAACAAGUAAAUCAAAUACUCAGGGCAAAAAUAAAGAUUUGCUCGACAAUCAUACAGUAUUCCCUUAAGAAAUUACAGGACAUACAGAAAAAGGUUAUCAACCAUUGAGGGAACAAGUUAGAGAAAAUACUUACCGAAAAAAUUGUAGAUGAAACUGUCAGGGAUCUGGCAUGACAAAUAUCUGCAAAAAGCUGACAUAUGCGAUCUGGGAGGCCAAGAAAAUAAUCACGGUCCUCAAGAUUUUCCGUAUGAAAAAAUAUCUUGGCUUUCCUCAGACAAUUGGCAUUCUUCAAAGAAUAGCUCACCAGACAGUCAUACUCGAUAUCUACCUCUUCAAGAUUAGGAGUAUCAGCAGUAACAAAAAUUUGGCACUCAUAAUUCCAAGCAACUGGUACAAUGAACCAAAUAUGCAGUCUUAUUAGUUUAGGCGCAGAUAUAACAAGAUUGUAAGCUGUCGCACCUGCAACGUCUCCAUCAAUAAUCAGCUCUUCAAGUGCAGGGAAACAAGAAAAGAACUUCUCCAUUAAGUCAGAAUCAGGAUGCUGAACUGUAACAUGGAGAAAUUUGAGAGACGGGAAACAAUUUGAGCUAGGAAUCGUGGCACUAAAAUUUUCGCACAGCAACAGCUUCAACCUCAUCAAUGUGCUGCACGUGAAAAGUAGCAUUGGGAUCUCAAAAUGUGGGCGUGUAGGUUUGCCAACCCUAAGAUUAAGUUCCACAACAUUAUGCCUAAUGGCAGUGGAAAUCCAAGCAUCAAUGUGAGAUGAGUUCAUCCCACCACUAAUCACAUUAAGACGGAAACUGUAAAUGUUUGCUUCACCACGAUUGAAAAGUAGAUCAUCCACAAACUCUUCAAAAUAACUUCGUUCAUAUCUUUUCCGUGAAUUGACACAAUGUUUGUAAAAUUUCAUUUCAUCCAAAUCUAGAACGGGAACAGAAGCCCAGACAUUCUUCCAACUAUGUGAUAAAACACUGGUCUGGACAGCCUCUAAGGUUGUAAGGAAGGAGAGUAUAUGGCAAAGAACUGCUUCUGGCAACCCACUAAUCCUAUCUUCAAUUCUUCGUUUGUGAUGCACUAAACUUGAAGCCAUUUAGUAUGUGAACUUCUCUGGUAAAAACCCAAUUGCAAUUUCUUCUUAGAAUUUGUAUUUCGUUGUCAGAAUUAUCUAAAAGUUGAUCACUUUAACACAAACUCUUAAGAAUUGAAGUUCAUGGAUCCAAGAUAUACAAAAGAGUAAAGAACUCAGAAACAAAAGAGCCUCCGAAAGUACCUGAAAUAUGAACUGAACUGUGGCACUAGUUAGAAACCCAGUUACAAAGCUCAACUUGAAUCAAGUCGACUGCAUUUGGGCUUCGGUUAUAUAUUCAUAUGAGAACGUAUAAAAUAGUAAAGAUUAACCGAGAAGAAUAGAGAUUUAGCAAGUACCUGAUAGGCUGAUAUAACCGUGAAGCUAGUUCUCGGCGGCCGUGUUUCAUCGCUGAGAAAGUAGGACAAGGAAACUGCGAGUUCUCCAAGUAGGUUAAUAGAAUAAUAGGUGAUCAAUGAGAGUCGGUGUGGGUAAGUAUGAAAACAACGACAUGUAGCUUUACUUUUAUUCCGGAAGGUUUUCGGCAAAGUAAAAUAUCGACGAUAAUUAAAAUUUCGAUCGUUUAAAAAUUGGAUGUUUAGAUAGAAAUAUUCGGAAAGUAUUGAUAUUGAUAAAAUUUCAAGGAAAAAUAGGUGAAAAUUUAUAUGGAUAUAUAUAUAUAUAUAUUAAAAUAUGCUUGUAUUGGACAAAAGGUGUCAUUAGCAGGGUUAGUUGAGGAGUAUUUCGAGUCCCUGUGCAACCAGGUUCGAUUCUACAAAGGUGAAUAUCGUGAAAAUUUCGUCAAGUUUCGAGAAUCUUGAACGAGAAGGUGUUGGUAUGUUUUGAUUAUAUCGGGAGGCUGAAAAAACGAAAUUUUCGGUACACGACGUGUGUACUUACUUUUUUUUUCCGAUAAACAAAAUAAGGAAACUUACAAACUAAAACCUCUACUACAACGUGAGUUUAAGAUCAAACAAAAAGGCCGAAUUGGCUUUUGGAGGUAAAGUAUUAGACCAACUGCCAAGAGAAAUUUUAUGACAUAUAUCAGCUAAAGCAUCAACCAAGAAAUUUGUCUCACGUUAAACAUGAGAAAAUUCGAUUUCUGCAAAUUGAGUAGCCAACAUCUUGAUAUCUUUGAUCAAAGUGGAGAUCCGCCGGGGGGUGUUAAUCUUGUUGUUGAUGCAGUCAAUUAGAACUUUAGAAUCACCCUCGACUUUGAUAUGGUUAGCUUGAUGGAUUAAGGCAGCUUUGGAGCUUUAAGGGCGAAAGCCUCGGCACAAAGCACAUUUGAAUGUCCUAAAACUUUUGUUGAAGCAAUAAUAGGGUAGUCGUGAGAAUCUCUGAUCACAAAACCUGUAUAAGCUUUUUGAUCAUGGAUAACAGAAACAUCAAAAUUCAGUUUUAAAAAAGAAGGUAGCGGAGGGUGCCAUUUAAUAAGUCUAGAACAAGACCUUUGAUUCUUAAAGUGAACUUGUGAAGCAUUAUUCUAGAUCAUGAAAGCAACAGUAUAGAAAACCUGAAUCGUUGUUUUGUAGAUAUUUCUGAAAAUUAAGUUAUUUCUAGCAUGCCAGAUAUUAUAACAGAUAAAAAGAACUUUGUUCAACGAAUCUAGAUCAUCAAAAUGUUUUGAAGCACAAAGAGAGAGCCAAGAAUAAAAAUCAGUAGAGGGGAUAGUAAUACGAUAAUACCAGCAUAGUUCCAUACCUCUUUAGCAAAACAACAAUAAUGAAAAAGAUGAUUCGUACUUUCAAGUUCAUAAUGACUGUGAGCCAAGAACGGUCUUUGAAGCUGAUGAGAAAAAAUGAUAUCUCUAGUUUUCAAUCUUCCUCUAAUUAGACUAAAUAUGUGGACUUGAUAUGUGGAUUAGGAUAGGGCAAAUUACAUAUAAGUCCACUUUAAGAUAUUUGUUCCCACAUAAGUCCACCCUAACAUUUUUACCCAUAUAAGUCCACCCAAGCUUAAAUAAGGUUUUGGUUUAAGUAUUGAAGUUCAACAUAAUUACAGACUGCUAUCCAACAAAAAAAAUUAGAUUUUCUCUUUUAUAUUUACAAAAAUGCCACUAAUGUAAAAAGUCAACAACCACUCUUCUCCCCGGAAAAGUCUCCGGCAGACCUCCGGCGAGGUCUCUGAUGGACUCCGGCCGACCUCCGGCAAUGUCUCCGGCUGAAUUCCGAUGAGGUUUUCAACGGUUACGAAAGCUACUACCGCCAGCAAGAAAAGCUACUAUCCCUAGCUACAAAACUACUACCACAGACUAUAAAUGCUACUACCGCCAGCAAGAAAAAUUACUAUCCUUAGCUACAAAAACUAUUAUCCCUAGCUAGAAAAGCUACUACCACAGAUUAGAAAAGCUACUACCACCGACUAUAAAAGCUACUACCGCCAGUAAAAAAAGCUACUAUCCCGAACUACAAAAGCUACUAUCCCUAGCUAGAAAAGCUACUACCACCGACUAGAAAAGCUACUACCACUGACUAGAAAAGCUACUACCACCAGCAAGAAAAGCUACUACCAUCGAAUAGAAAAGCUACUACCACCGACUACAAAAGCUAUUACCACCAGCAAAAAAACUACUACCACCAGCAACAAAAGCUACUCCAUCAACUAGAAAAGCUACUAUCCCUAACUACAAAAGCUACUACCAUACAUAAUAAAAUCUACUACUACCAAGUAAUACAAAAUAUACUAUUACAGUGUCAAAAAUAUACUAUCGUAAUGACAAAAAUAUACUACUACUGUGUUGGAAAUAUACUAUCAUAACCAUAACCAGUCAAUUGUGAGCUUGUUGAGCGUUGAGCAUGUCAAGAGGACGGUUCCAUUCUCGGUAGAGCCUUCGUUUCCCGACGCCGUCGAUGCCAGCAACGACGGGUUUAUCUAGAUCGGAUCUAGAGUUGAAGGCGCUAGAUGGUUGAGCAGAUCAAAUCAGAAGGCGUCAUCGUCGAUCCGGAGGCUUCGUCGUUGGGCCGGCGACGUCGAGGUCGAAUCAGAACAAGUCAAGGUCAAAUCAGAAGAGGCCGAGGUUGAGGCCGAAUUAGAAGUCUGGAUCGGAUCUAGAGGUGAAGGCGCUAGAUGGUUGAGCGGAUCAAAUCAGANNNNNNNNNNNNNNNNNNNNNNNNNNNNNNNNNNNNNNNNNNNNNNNNNNNNNNNNNNNNNNNNNNNNNNNNNNNNNNNNNNNNNNNNNNNNNNNNNNNNNNNNNNNNNNNNNNNNNNNNNNNNNNNNNNNNNNNNNNNNNNNNNNNNNNNNNNNNNNNNNNNNNNNNNNNNNNNNNNNNNNNNNNNNNNNNNNNNNNNNNNNNNNNNNNNNNNNNNNNNNNNNNNNNNNNNNNNNNNNNNNNNNNNNNNNNNNNNNNNNNNNNNNNNNNNNNNNNNNNNNNNNNNNNNNNNNNNNNNNNNNNNNNNNNNNNNNNNNNNNNNNNNNNNNNNNNNNNNNNNNNNNNNNNNNNNNNNNNNNNNNNNNNNNNNNNNNNNNNNNNNNNNNNNNNNGAGAGAGAGAGAGAGGAAAGUGAAGGAUUCGUGUGAGAGAAUGGAUUUGUAGGGAAUGAGGGUAUUUUAGGAACAUCAUAAAAGUAAAAUAACAGGUUUAGGCUUAAAAGUGGACUUAUAUGGGUGAAAAUAUUAAAGUGGACUUAUGUUACAAAAAAUGUUAAGAAAGUGACUUAAGUGAAAUUUUCUAUUUGAUGUUUCGACCAAACUCUUAUUCAUUACUUGUGUAUUAAGGUCAUCUAUCCUAAUAAGCACUUGUAACCCAAGUAGGAGCCAUAACAUUCGCAAGGUCUUUAUUGAUAGGUUGAUGAGUACUGAAUUCAUAUGACGCUGAUGUCAGCAUCUAGAAAGUUGACGUCAUCACGAUGUCCGACUGAUACAAGACGGAAAAAACCAGCAUCCCGUUGUCUAGAUCAUCACGAUUUUCGGGCAUACGAAGUGGAAACCUUAAGCCAAUGCGGUAAGGGUUUACUACUCUCGUUGUGAAAAUCGGCUUGCACUCAUAUGUUAGUUAAGGUCUACAGGUCGCAUGCAGUUUAUAAUGUUCCUAGAGGGGUAAGAUGCUUCCUCUAAUCAAAAUAUCUUUCACAAAAGAAAAAACAAAUGUAUAUGCAUGAUAGUUCAUGCAUGGUUAUAAAUAGCCAAAACUACACCGAUUACUUGCAAAGCUAUGUUACAAGAAUUUAAUGUUUUGCCUGACAAUUCUCUUGAGACAUUAACCUCAUUUUUUUUAUCACAUUUUGCAUUCUCCAAAGAAAUAAGAGCUCACCAUGAAAUCACCAUCAGCAUUAACCAGAACUGAAAACUUAUUAAUUUCAGAUGCAUGGACCUUGAUACUUAUUUGAAGCCUUUACAGUUUACUUUGGUACAUAGAUAUCAAGACCAAACAGACAGAAUCCUCUACCCAAGGAUUACAGCUAUACUACAAAAAAAAAAAAAAAAAACUAUACUGAAGCCAAAACUCGGAAGGACUAACAUAUGCCCUCACUACAAGGUGGUAAACAAUAAACACCAUUAAUAUAAAAACCUGGCCAGCAAUGGAUGAGACAGAGAGAAGAAAACGUUGAAGAAAAUAGAAGUUGGCAGUUAAAGACACAAGGCACAUAAGUAAACUUAUGUUCUAGUGAUUUAGUCCCAAAAGAAACAUCCAUGUCAAAUGACUGUUUUGAAUCCUCAGUAAACUUAGAGGUUAGAAAUCUACCAAAAAGAAAACAGAAAGUAAAGCAGUUAUAUUUACAAGUGAGCGUAAUAUUACAUUCCCAUUCCCAGAACGAGGAUCCAAGUCAACUGAUCAUCCGAAAUUCAACUUCACAAGUCUUGGAACCCCUCGGGAACUUCGCAAAUCUCAUGUAAUCAACUUUGUUUUGCCACACUUACGAGAGAGCAAAUCUCACUGCUUACAAGUUGCUUUCUAAUUUGCAUUAAAGAAAAUAUCUCAUGUUCCAUUCCCACAGAAAUAAUAUGCCUAUUGAUGACAGAAAUUAGCAAGAGGGCAGAUAGUUACACGUACAAGACUGCAUAUAAGGUUAUAUUCCCCAAAGAAGAAUCUGUAUGAAACGAUUUUCUGAAACUGAACUUUACAUACUCUCAUGUAAUCGAAAAACUACACAGAAAACCGCAUAAUUCUCAUUGCUAAAUGUCAAUAUCUCAGAUCAGUGUUCCAAACUAUCAACCCAAAUCCCCAACAUACUCUUAACUCGUAUCCCCAACAUACUCUUAACUCGUAUCCCCAACGUACACUCUUAAACAACUAAUACCCGGACUAGACCUGGGCAAGCUUUCUCUUGUUACCUCCAGCCCUUUCCAAACUUUCUUUGAUAUAGGAAUAAGCAUUUCCCAUACUUUCUUUCGGCUGCGCUGGCAUGUUCAAGGGCAUCAACGAAAUCUCUGUUUCUUCAACUUCCAUUAUAUCUCCAGAUUCUCUGUUGUAAAAUAAAAUCAGAAAUCAUAUUAAGCAGGACAAAAGAUGCUCCAAAUUUUAUUUAAUUCUAAGAGCAAACCAAAAGAGGUGAUAAAGCCAUAGGUUCCUGAAGGAGAAAGUAAAAACCCACCUUUUUUCUUCUUCUUGUUUUAUCUGGUUCACGGGGGUAGCAAACCCUUCUUCUUUAGUUGGCACCAAGUUCUUCUUUGACUGGAUCAGGCAAAAAGAGGAAGAACACUAAGAUUAAGUGCACAAGUAUAGCAAAAACAACUAUUAGCAACAAAUCACCAAUAGCUAGGCUGCUGAGGUUAUGAAAGUCAUCAUUUACAAAACUCGUACAUUCUAACAUCCCAUCAACUACUUGAAUACGAACAAUCUUUUUGAACCACCCGCCAAACAAAAGCAAACAGUGUUGUAUUCACAAAAGGGAGACAAAGAGCACACAAUAGAAGAGUAGCAAGUGCUUCAGGAAAGUGCCAACAUCAUUCAAUUUAUCAAAAACCUCAUCUCAUUUGCAUGGGGAAAAAGAGUCGGAGCUUGCUUAGUUUAUAGAUUUGCCAAUAAAUUUGGAGGAAAAGGUCAGAGAAAACACUAAAUUACUCGACGAGUCGUUUAUAUUGGAAAAAUCAAAUAUGGCUCUAAAACUAAUGUAUAAUCGAAGAGAAUUGAACAAGAUGUCAUGGUUUUAAUCAGACUAACAACAAAUGUGCCUAACAACAACGACAAGAAUAAAGGAGGGACAUGUACAUUACCGGUUGGUCCUUAUUAGCAUGAACAACCAUAUCCUCCUCCUCCUGUGUCUGUCAAAAUAUAUAAUAAAGAGAAAAGUUACAAAGCUGAAGCAAUCAAGUAAGAGGGUCGGGGCCUGGUGGUGCUCACCUUUGCUUUCCAGUACUCACGAAAACUUGCACUCUGAAGGGCCGCCUCCACUGUGUCCAAAUUAUCGAGCCUGCUGCAGCACCUUUCGAUAUACUCGCUCACUCUGUCCAGGAAAAACAUGAUGCCGUUGAAAGACGAACUGAAUCUCCGAAGGAGGGGAAUCAUCAAUUCCAGGAUCGCCUCCUCCUCCCCUUGUUUCACACUCAUUCCUUUCUCCUCCCGGGCCAGAUAUGACAGACGGUCCAUGCAUCUUUUUCUCGUCGUUGGAUCAUCUUUCAAAUGAUCUAUCUUUUUCUCCUCCUCCUUGGGCUUGGCCUCCUCCGUCAUAUCAUCUUCGGAAUCCGAUUCCUCUUCCUCUUCCUCUUCCGAACCCACAUCCGAAUCUUCUGGUUCAUCUUCAUCAGACCACUCAUCCCCCGAGCCGUCCUUCUUCUUGCCUUGUUUUUUAAAAUACUCAUCAACUUGUCUGACCAAGUUGACGUCAAUUUCUUUCCUGGAUUUAACAAGCUCUCGUCUGAUCGCAUUGGAGAUCUCGCCGAUCACUGACCCCCAAUAACACGGCAGAAAUCGACUGAGGAAGGAUUCGAUAAACCGCAUGAGAUGUUCUUCGUCUACCUCGAUCUUCACCCCACUCAAUUUCAGCCGCGCCAGCACGUCUUUGGGCUCCGGAUCGUUAAACACUAUCAUUGGUCUCCAAUACCCUAUCUCUUUUUCUCCCAAAGACAUUUUCUUCUUUCUUUCUUUCUCUAUUCCCCUCUCUCUGGUAUAUCCCCUCUCCUUUUUAUAGUCUCCCUACCUAUUGGUUUUAGGGUUUCUUUUGGGCUCAAGCCCAGGCUUCACUGCCCAAUUAUUAAUAAUUUUAUUAUUUUAAUUUCUAGACAGACCAUGAAAUAUUUCUUAUUGACUUUCCUAUCCCAAUUAUUAUUAGUUUUCUUUUUAUUCCUAGAUUUAAUGAGGAAACAGAUCAUGAAAUAUUUCUUCCCUUUCCUAUCGUACAUAAGGAAAUAAUUCCGGAACUUAAUUUUCCUUUCCUUCAUAGGAACGAAUCUAGAUAGUUAUCACCUUGAUUUUCUUUGCCCACAUAGGAAACAAGUCUAGCAAUGUUCCUUUCCUGUAAAGGAAACAGAACUACAAUUACUGUGCCUACAAAUAAGAGCCUUGGCCACAUUAUUUUUGCAUCAUCCAUAAAAAUUGUUGUAUGUAUUGUGCUGAGUCUCAGAGCAACUAUGAGGUAUUCGUUGAGACACUGUCCUGGUCCUAGUGACUGUGCUCUCAAGGUCAUUUAUGAGGGCUUUAGUACAGAUAAGAAAGCAGUUUGGGUCAAUGGACUUGAUCCAAAGACGGCGCGCCAAUCUGAACGACUUAAAGGAUAUUGCAUCUAAGCUUGGUUACAAAAUAGAAGGGACAAGCUUUUCGUAUAGAUCACUUGCAGCACGUGAGCUUGUCAACAUUAGUGCUGAUGAAGAUGUAGAGAUGAUGAUUAAGGAACUACCAGUUAUGUCAAAGGAGUUCGACAAAAACCGGAAGAAACUCCUACUAUUUUGUUUUGGAACUGCUGCAGACUCGGCCCCUCAGCCAUAUAUAUGCUAAAAGUUCUCAAGGCUAUAUAUGAACCUUCGAUCAUCUUUUUGAUCGAGACUCGGAUGUCAUCUAAAGCUAUCAAAGAAGUUUCUUCCAAACUAGGAUUCUACAAUGUUUAUGCAUGUUCUUCAACCAUAGGUGCAGUCGAUAAACCCAACUGCGUUGGGUUAGCUAUGUUAUUCAAAACAGACGUAGAUGUUGAAUUUUUAGAUAAGACAGAAAAUUAUCUUGAUUUCGUGAUUAACGUUAGUCCUACUGGUAAGAAGUGGAGGUUAACAGGAUUUUAUGGGCACCCAACAGUGAAGGCUCGCUCAUGGGAGUGGCUCCGAAAGUUAAAGGACAUUAAAGAUCUCCCUUGGAUAAUUUUUGGAGACUUCAAUGAAAUUUUAUCAAAAGAUGAGAAAAGUGGCGGGAGGCAAAAAAAAGAUGAGAAGUGGCAGGCUUUCGAAGAAGUCCGGAAAGAAUGCUUUCUUCAUGACUUGCCUUUUGAGGGUUGUAAAUCUACAUGGCAGAGAUGUAACAUUAAGCAGAGGCUUGAUAGAGGAUUGGCCACAGUGGAGUGGAAAGAUAUGUUUCAAUCUUAUAGGGUGGUGCAUUUGACGCAUGGAGGUGUCUCAGAUCACAUUCCUAUAGUGAUACAAACUGAUGGCCAAAAACAUAAAAAGAAGAAUAUUAAUGCUCUACGUAUUGCGAUGGACGAGGUGUUUUCAUUUGUUAAACAGUUGCAAGCAUAUUAUUUUGAUAUGGAAGGGCUCCAGACGAUGUCAAAGAUUGUAAACAAUACACAAUUGAGCAUAAAACACCCAGAAUUCUGUUUCCAAAUAGCAAGGAUGAUUGCACCUCAAGUUAUUCAUGCAACGGACAUUGUAGUACACGACAAGACAACUGAUAUGGUUAAAUAUGAUCGACUGGUUAGUUUUAAAACUUGUGUCAACCUUCCUUUGGUAUUAUGGAAUUGCCUAGUCCUUGCCAAGCCGAGUUCAGAUGACGACUUUGAAGCUCCACCAGAUUGUCCAAGUGCUUGUUGUACACAGAUAAUCAUUGAAAACGAGGUUAAUCUUUCGGAUAAUCUUGCACAAGCAUGUAAACUUUUAUCUCUGAUUGCAGCUCGUGGAAGAAUAACUGGACAAGAGAUUAUAGACGAAAAGAUAGAUGAGCAAGUGAAAAGUUUGAUUACCUGGCUGAAAGACUCAUUUAGACAGGGCGAUGACAAAAAAUUUGUGAUCAGCAUUGGAGAUGCGGAAUACUUAGCUAAAUCUCGUAAAUUAAAAGAGAGUGCAUUAGUGGUUGGUCGUGCAGUCAUUCUUUACAACAUCAUGACAUCUCUAAUUAGGGAAAAGGAGAUAAAACGUAGAGGCUACAUAACAGAUCUCCGGGAGAAGCUUGAUGUUAAAAUCAAAGAUUACGUUCGUCGACUCUAUGUUGCACGGACACGGACACGGAUACGGCGACACGACACGGCGCGACACGGCGACACGGAAAAACCUAAAAACAGAGGAUCCGACACGGCAAAUAAAAUAUAUAUAUUUAUAUACUAAAUACAUAAAAAGAUACUAAAAUUUGACAUAAGGAUAAUCUUAUUAACAAAAUAGUGUUCUAAAUCCAUUACAAAUAACAAUCAAACAACUUCAAAUAGAUUUAGUAAGUGCAAAUGAAGAGAUGUUCAUAAAUGACAUAUGCAAUAGCCACAAUAGGCAGCAACUUUGGAGUUUGGACGUUUGGGCAACAACUUUGCACCGUCGGCAUCAACAACUAUAUCCUUAGUGACAUAUUUCCAAAGUGGCGCAGAUAAAUUUUCCUCCACAUUUGAAUCGACACUAGGUUCUGUAGAUGCUGCUGAAGUAGAAGUACUCAUCCUGUGCAAUUGAAUCACAAUAUACAAACUUUACACCACAUACCGUAAGUCCAUUUUUAGUCCAUGCAUAAAUUGAUUGAACAAAGAUGGAGAAUUCUCAGUCUAACACAUAAACAAAUUGAACCAUAGGUCAUCAUAACAUCACAUAUAUAUAUAUAGUAUAUAUGAUCCCGGAUCCACACCUGUGCACCCACCCACCGCACUUACCUCCUUCCUCCAUUUAGUCCAUUAUCUUCAUACAAAUAUACAUAUAUAUCAAAUUCUAACCCAGUAACCCACAGUCCCACAGACCCACACCCACACUGAUUUGAGGUCGAAAGACGAAAAGAAAAAGAAAGAAUUACUUACAGAUAUGAGGUCGGAGGCUGGAGAGGUCGCCGGUCUGAGGUCGUCGGUCGGAGCUGGAGGCUGGGUUCGGCUUGUGGUCGCUGGGUUCAACUUUUCUCACUCUGGGAACUAUUUGGGAAGAAUGGGAAGAAUGAGAGAAGUGCGGCUCCCUCUAGCUCUCUGUGUUAGGUCAGUUCAAUUUUUUUUUUAAAUGGUGAUGUGGCGUGUCGAAACCGUGUCGACGCCGUGUCGAGAAAUGGUCAACGUGUCGCAACCGUGUCGAAAAAGUUUGACUUUUCGGACACGCCACGUGGCGUGUCGGACGCCGUGUCGGGCCGUGUCGGUACGUAUCGGCGUGUCGGGGAGCGUCCGACGCUCCGACACUCCAUGGUUAGAGGUGUCCGUGCAUCAUACUUCGAGGGAAUAUUUUGGAUAAAGAGAAAGGUGAAACCACAUGUUUCCUAGAAGAACCUCUACAGUAUUUGCUCAAGACUUUGAAGUUGCAAGUGGCGGAUAGUUCUGAAUAUGAAGUUGAUAUCAACGCGGAUCUGGGGCUUGAAGAUAAAAGGCUUGAAGCGGAAACAAAAGUCAUGAUGUGGACAAAAGCCGAACCCUUGGUAGACGAAAUUAGGAAACGUGGCUCUGUUCAAAUAGAGAAGCUUGAAGAGGUUGUUAAGGAUUCAGUAAUAAUUGACAGACCGCUCACAGUUCAAUACCAGAUAAAAUUUCUGACAGAUCUGAAGAUUCUACGUUUGGACGUGAAUGGAAAUCUUGAAUUUCAAGAAGCAAACAAAAGCAGCGAUUUAAUAGUCAAAAGGCUUGAGCAGGCAGCACAUGUUGCCUUGAAAAGUAUUGAGAACAGCACGUCCAAGAAGCCUAUGAAGUUCCAGACAUACAAGAAUAAGAUAACUAGGGCAUACAAAAAAUCCCAGUAAAAAGCGGAGCGAUGUUAGUUAACUUGAAGCUAUUAAUUGUUUGUAAGAUGCUUUGAUGCUAUUAAUUGUUUGUAAAAUGCUUUGAUGCUAUUAAUUGUUUGUGUUUUUUCUUUUGAACUGUUGUGUGUUUCUAAUCUUCGAUUGAUGGAUGACAAGUAGUUU